Molecule: long non-coding RNA, 49262 nt
Filed under: Cucumis sativus (cucumber)
Lineage: Eukaryota; Viridiplantae; Streptophyta; Magnoliopsida; Cucurbitales; Cucurbitaceae
Description: long non-coding RNA (CSAT_LNC000834)
Source: RNAcentral
AGUGCUUUAUGGAAGGGUAAGCCAGGAAAGUUGAGUGGCAGAGUGAGGAACGCAAGUGCAAUAUUCUCAUUCAAAGUCUCCAUUUCUCCUAUAGAAGUGCUUUUUAUUGGAGUUGAACCCAUAAAAAUGUUCCAAAUAACUUUGAAGGUAAGUUGCUUUAUCGUGGUUAAUAAUUCCAAUGGCUUCUUCAUGCUUGACCAUUCCUCCAACCCACUAAUCACAGAGUGUUCAAUAUGAUCAAUGUACAUCUCGAGCGCUGCAUGGCCACUGAUCGGUGCCAUUGUCAGCCGUCGGAGCUUCCGAUGCUCCUCUUUCGGUACUUGAAGCAGUGAUUUUUUACCAAAUACGGCUGUGAUGGAUGUAGGAUAACUAGGAAUGAACUUGGUUUCAUCAGUUAAUACUUGACGACAUAUUUCAGGUUUGCAGACGAUUAUAGUUGGUUUUCCAAAUAUGUGAGUCUUGUACAUAUCAAGUUUCCCAUAUCUAAUCAAAGAAGAAGAAAAGGAAAAAUAAAUUAUUAGUAACUUGGGUUAUGUAACUACUUGAAAGCACGUGAAAUCUCGUAGUUUUAUUUUAGAAGAACUUAAAACAUACCAUAAGUUUAACAUCAAAUUAAUAUUCUAUAGUUUUACUUUAUAGUGUAAAAGUUUUUAUUUCAGUAUGCAUUUUCAUUAAAAAAAAGUUUAUAAUAUGGUACAAACUAAAAGAUUACGAUGGUCAUUAGUAUAUUAAUAUAUUAAAAUUCUAGUAAUGUUUUCAACAUUUGGUAAUAUUUUAGCGUAAUGUCGUAACAAUUUUAAUUUUAAUUGUGGAUCAAUAUUUUAUUGAUUUAGAUAUUAUUAUGUAUAUAUUACAUUAAAAUAACCAAUGGAUAAAUAGGCCACUUAUAUAAAGAAAAGUGAUUAAACCUAAAUUGUAAAAUUUACAUUAAUAUUAAUAAUAUUCUCACAUGUCUAUCAUAUGUAUCGAAGUUACUAUCAUACAUAAAAGAAUAAUUUUUUUUUUGUCGAUAUUAGAAGAUAAAAAAAAAUUAUGUUGGAUGUUUGAAAAUUAUAUUUUAAAAAGGAAAAGGAGAGAAGUUAUAGAAAAUUUAUUGUAAUUAAAUGAUAAAACUUUUUAAAAUAUUAGAAUCCUUAAAUAAUAAACAUUGAUAUUCAUGUUUAUAUAUAAUGUUUCUAAAAAUGUUGAGAGUUUAAUUAUUUAAUAUCAUGUCAAUUACGUAUCAAUUUGUUUUGCACAUGUUUUCAAAAUCAAAAUCAGGUUCGACAACUAAAAGUUAUCACAAAAAGAAAAGAAAACUAUUAGUUGGAGAUUUUGGCUGUUAGAAUUAUAUGACAAAGAAUAUUCUUGAGAAAGAUGAAACUAUCAUGACAAUAAGAGAUAUGGAAGAAAACAUUAAAAAAAUUCAAAAAUCUCCAAAACCAAAUAACACAUUUGACUAACUAUUACAAAUUUUUUGCUGUUGAUGUCUUUAUAGUGAGUUCCACGAUCUCUUCUAAUGAAUCUUCUCGCACGUAGUCAUUUGAUUUUUGAAAAUUAAACUUAUAUUUACUGAAAAUUAAAUAGGGCAAGAGAUCAGUGAGAUAUACCUUCUUGAGAAGUCACCAAUGAAACGUUCUGGUGGACCAAAAGUGAAAUAUUUGAGAAAUGAUAGAGUAGAACCAAUAAGUGGCCAAGAUAGAUCACCAGGAGGAAGUUCAUCCCAUUUCUUCCCUAAUUUCAGUGCAUAAUACAAAUUAUUCAAUCUCUUCAAAACCCCAAACCCUAAAACAAAACCCAAGAAAGGAACAAUCAACGACAACCAAUUUAUCAUCAAUUCCAUUGAAAAAAUGAUUUUUCUCUACUUAACCACAAUAGCUUUAUGCAUUCGCUGAUCAAUAUAUUUCACUUAUUCAGUAAUCAAUUUUCUUUACCCCUCAUCUGAUCUCUUACCCUAUUUAUAUUAAACUGCCUUGGUGUUUGAAUAGUGACUUGAAUUAAAUUAAAUGUACUCUCUUUCUUCUCUCUUUGGGUUAAUGAUUCACCAUUUUUCAGUUGGAUGUGCAGACUCACACAUUAACUACUACCUUCAUCAUUGGUAGGAGAUAGGUCAUUAACGUUAUUGAACCAAAAGUCAAAUCAAGAGUUUAUGUUCAAAAUGUACAAUAACAUACCAUAUUGUUUGAAUGUCUGGCGGAAGGUCGUUCUCUAAUGAUUUCAAUUAUGUAUCAUUUAGACCUAAUUUUAAAAGUGAUUUAUAUAUAUUUACUUUUAGCCUCAAGUUUUUAGUAAAUUGUGUUCGAUCUUUAUUUCAUAUGUAACGCCCUAGGUCCAGGAUUCGGAAUUCGGAUCCCUGACAUUUUUCUGCGACUUGGUAACAUCAUCCUUACAUGUCCUAAAGACUUAUUAAAGUGAAAGUCAUCCCCACAGUAAAAAGAAUUAAAAAGAGGCCCUGACACUUUGACGUGGAAGCAUAAUAGUGAUAGUAAAUGCAACAUUGCCUUGUUUAAUUAGAAAGCUAUUCAUAUCGUGGAGCCAAGAGAUGAAGUAACUAUAAACCCAAAGACCUUAAAAAACCUAUGGAAAUCGAGCAUUAAAAAAAAAUGUAGAUUUUUUAUUUCGUCUCUCAUUUAUGAUUGCAUUAACACAGCUAACAAGCUUCAAAGAAGACUCCCUUGUACACAUCUCAACCCAUAUUGGUUCAUUCUAUGUAAAGCUCACUCGGGAGGAUAUAAAUCACAUAUUCAUCUCAUGUUCCACUUCCCGAAAUCUAUGGGUUCAAGUUUAGACCCUUGUAAAUUGGCGAAAUAACCAUUAGAAGAAUGUGGUCUCUCUCUGUAUUGAACUUUGCCUCAUCAAACAAAAGAAUAGACAAGGCCCCAUCAUCUUCAACACUAUAGCAGUUGUUCUUUGGUCUAUUUGCCCGAAAAGAAAUAAUAGAAUUUUCGAAGAUCAUGAAAAACGAUCAUUGAGCUUUGGGAAGACAUUCGUGCUCUGAUAACUCGACUAAUAGAUCAUCUGCACUUAUUUGUUAACUAUGUCACUACAGCUUUAUAUCUUCAUGCCAUUGUCUAAUUAUAUUGAUUGUGGUGUCUCCUGUAUUAUUGGGACAUCUCUAGCCCUCUUUUAUGUUGAUUUCAUGCUUUUUGUAUUAAAAUUUUUAUUAUUAUGAAUGAAGUGAGAAUGAUGUAGAAGUGUUAAGGAGGUGUUUAUCAAGCACAGAUGCACGUGUUUGAUCCAAUCAUUUCUCUUUAAAAAGCCAAAGACAAAUUACAUUGUUACGGCAAAAGAAAAUUUAUUAAAUUGUUUUAAGACUCAUUUAAAGUACUUUAUUAAAUUGCGUACUCCUUUGCGUACUCCUAUACUAAGAAUCAAUUUAACAUUUAAUCGAUUUAUGGCUCGCCUAACUUUCCAUAGCUAUUGUCUUCUCACCUCAUUAAGGUCAAUAAAUUUUCAUUUAAUAUGAUUGGUAAAGUAGUAAAAAAGAAAUAAAUUAAAACGUUUUAUUUCUUUUUUGUUUGAAGUUGUUCAAUUUUAAUGCUUGUUUAUUCAAUAAAUAUUAUAUUUUAUCAAAGUUUUUUAGAUAAAAUUAUUAAAAUAUAAUGAUAAAUUUAAUGCAAGAAUACAUUUUGAAAAACUAUAGUUGAACAAAGAUAAUAGUUCAUAAAAAGUUUUUGAGAAAAAAAACAAUAGACUAAUGAUUGAGCCUAAGUUUAAGAUAUAUUCAAGAUGUCAAUUAUAUUUUUUUAAUGAGAAAUUAAAUUGACCUAAAUGAGAAUUCAUAGUCAUGAAGUAAUAACUAUUUAAUUGAAAACAUUUUCUUGACAAAUAAUUGAAUUGAUUUUUUUUAUGAUUCAAGAAUGUUAUAGAAAACAAAAAUGUUCAUCAUAACACAAUAAUAAAGUAUUUAUUUUAUUUGAUGGGUGAAAUAAAAUUCACAUAUAUAUAUACACACAAGUACAUGUCAUAUAUGUUUAGAAGCUUAAUACAAUAAUCGUAAAGUUCACGUUUAUUGGACCAAAGAAGGUUACAUGAGGAUGAGGGAUGACUUUUUAGUCAGUUUUUUAUGGAGCUUUUAUGACUCUUACCAAACAUUUGUGUAUAGGAUAAGAAAUAAGCAAGUAAUUCAAUUGACACCGAGCAUUAAGUCGCUUCACCCUACAUUUAUCGAUGAAAACAUUUCUAUGAUCACAUUUUUAUUGAAUCUCUAAUUAUCAAAUUCUUUACUAAAUAAACUUAGUUACUCGAGGUGAUUGAUCAUGUUUUUCAAUUUUUAGAAAAAAUUAUAUUAUAUAUAUAUUUUAAAAAAAGCAUCUUAAUCCUAACAAAUUUAUGUUUAUUUUGGGUCAAAAGUUUAUAGAAAAUAAAAAGUUAGAUGAAACUCCCUUGUAAUUGAGGACAAAAUAAUGAAGGAAAAUUGAGAUCUCGAUUUUGGCUAGAUCACGUCUUGGACACAUCCUAACUCCUAAUCCCAAGGUAGGUAAAAGCACCUGGACUUCCUAUAAAAUUCUGCUAAAAAAAUUAAAAUAAGAAAAUAUUUUCAAAUAUAGCAAAAUGAAUCAAAAUAUAUAUUUAUUAAUAUAAUAAAAUAUUAUUAUUUAUCAGUGAAAUUGAUAGUAUUUGUCAACAUGAGCUUAGCUUAAUGAUAUCACUAUAUUUUUUAGAACAAUAGGUCUCCGAUUCAAAUUCAUUCUACCAAACUCUACCACACUAAAUAAAUGUAAAGAAAAAAAAAAAAAAAAAAGACUCCAAUCAAGUUAUAUUCAAAAGUUAGGACUAAUAUAUAUAUAUAUAUCAUUUUUAGGAGAGUCCAUUUAUAUUUUGCAUCUAAUCAACGAUUAGUGGCUGAAAAAAAAAAGCAUAAAUAGAAAAUAAAAGAAUAUGCAUAAAUAAGUAGAGUAUUUAAUAAAUGCAUACAUCCCAUCUGGAAGGAUUGAAUUGUUGAGGGGAAGGAUGUAGUUUUUGGUCCAUGUUAAGCCCUUGAAGCAAAGCAUGACUAUCAUGAAAGAAUUUAUUGAGGGAUCGGGGAGCAUAUGCCUCCCCUCGCAUUAUCAGUUUUUGUAUUUUAAUAUUAAUUUUGAAAUGUCAGAUUAUAAUAUAUAUUAAAUAAUACUCAAUUUUAGAUAAAAUUUAGUUCUGACGUAGUGGUUGUGCCCCUGUAAAACCAUGAGGUUAUGUGUUAGAAUUCCACUUACAACAAUUAUUUUUACGAAAUAGUUUUUAUUUCAAAUAUCAAUAAUUUUCUUCUCUAAAAUGAUUUUCUAAAAUGAAGUUAAUUUGAUUUUUCUUUCUAAAUUUCAAUGACUUCCUAAAUGUAAAAUAAUUUGAUUUCAUAAAAGGAAUAUAAUUUUUUAAAAAGAGAAAAAAACCUGUCUAAGAGAAAACUUUAUCUUGUAUCAAUUAUUUUCUUUCCAAGUUUUAUUCAAAAUAUCAAUAAUUUUCUUCUUCAAAUGAUUUUCUAAAAUGAAGAUAAUUUGAAUUUUCUUCCUAAAUUUCAAUGAUUUCCCAAACGAAAGAUAAUUUAGUUUACUAAAAUGAAUAAAAUUUGAUAGUAUAAUUUUUUAAAAAGAGGAAAAUAACAUAUCUAAGAUAUCUUAUUUUCCGGCGCUAGUUUGUUAUCUAACAAAUAUUUAGAAAAAAAUGCAAAAAAUUGGGUGGUACAAACUUUCACUCUCAACAAUGUUCCAUAAAAAGUACUAUUCUUUUAUUUUUUUGAUGCAAUUUUUAAAUCUACAUAUUUACAUUACAAAAAAUAAAGUGAAAAUUGUUGGAUUUUUUUUUAUUGCUAGUGAAUGUUAUUGGACAAUCAGUUUAACGUAGAUAUAUUUUUUUUACAUUUUUUAAAUGUGUUUAUUAUAUUGUGUUUGGCACCCUAUAUAAAAUUUAUGGAUCCGUCAUUGAUGACUAUCCAUCUCUUUGGUAUAAUUUAACCUAAAAACAAUAAAAAUAUAUAAUAAUACAAAGUUAUUAUAAUUACUCAAUAUAUAUAGGGAAAAUAUUUUAUUUAUGAUUUGUUAUCUAAAUCAAUCUUUUCUAAUAAUUUAACCGUUUUCUUUAAAUAAAAUCCAAUGAUGGGAUCUAGGAAAUCUGGUAGUCCGAUUUUCUAGAAUUCUUUAGGUGAGGGAUCAAUAUUUUUGGGUGUACGAGAUUUGAUCCCAAGAAAAAAUGAAUUUAAUCAAUGUUUUUUUUAAAAAAAAUUUAUUCGAAAACUAGCUUAUGAUAGAUUUUGAGAAAUUGUAAUAAUUUCUUAUUAUCUGAAGGUGAGAAACUUUGCUCAAUAUAUAGUAUAAUUAAUGAAAUAUUAUUCCACUUAUUUUUUAUUUUAUGAGAUCAUUGAUUCAAAUGUUGUAGUAAUGAGAGGUAAAAUAAGACACUAGUUUUAAAAUAAAUUAAAAAAUAUUUUCAAUUCUAUAUUUAAAAUUUGGCCACCGUUUUUCUAAAUGGGUGUUGUGGGUGCUAAUAAUUUUCCCACACACAAAUGACUUCCGAACUCAAUUUUAUUUUUCGCAGACCAAUUUUUUAAAAAUUGUUUACUUUAUUUUGUUAUCCAAUCACAUCGUAAAAAGAUUGGUGGUGACUCCUAUUUUCUUUUAAAACUAACUCUUUCCAGGACGUCGGCUUCUCCGCUUCGUCUCGGGCACGUGCUGACAGCUUGAUGAGUACUCCGCUGGAGACAUAAGGCUUUAUCUCGAGAGUUUGGCUAUUUCCUUUUUUAUCUUGAAUUAUUUUAUUCUAAAUUUAUUGUUCGUAGUUAUUGUACAUUUAAUUAUUACACACAAUCACGAGCCUCCUACCCGGGCUUUACAAGAUUAGAAUUGAAAACGAAGCAGUAGUAGUGGGACGAGGUUAUUGUGCAUUUUUGCCUCCACAUGAUGCAACUUUAAGGAAACCAUCACAAGUCAGUCCUGGAUGUCGGAAAUAAUUCACUUUCAACUCGUGGAGUGGGAUUCCUCUUAAUUUAAUCCAUCCACCAUAGCUUCGGAGAUGAACUUCGGUUUUGCAUGCAGAGAACUGGACCACUUUUCAAAUUUAACAAAAUACUUGCCAACGGUUAAACAGCCACUGUUGUGACAAAGUAGAUUAGCUAAAACGAUCUCUUUGAAGUUGACCAAAGCUUUUUGAAGAUGGAAGGGCUUGAAACUGAACUCUUCCUCAGUUUGCUUUCUCAAGUUGUUCAUGAUUUUCUGUCAAUCACCAUGAAAAUACUGUCUAACCAUAACCACUCGUUUUCUAACUUCAGAGGAAGUUUGAGGCCUUUGGGAUUUGUACCUGAAGAACAACUUGAUGUGGAGCUAUCGCUUAUACUUCUUUUGGAGACUGCUUUUGCAUAGGAACAUCUAGGGGAGACAACAAUUGGUGGGGAAUAAAAUGCUCGCGGCUUGCCCUGGGGAGUGAAAGAGGGUAUUGUUCUAGCUUUGACUUCAACCUUCGGGGUGAUCUGUGAUAGAAAGGAGACCCAACCAUUUUUUUCAAUGCCUUAUGGGACAAGAAUAUUGCAUGCCUUUCUUCCAACAUAAUCAACCUUAUAAACUUCAGUUGUGCAACCUCUGCUGUUUUUUGUUUUUCUGAUCCAUUAAGCAAUGGUUCUUCAUUUCUUGUUUUCAAGAAAAAUUGAUUUGAACUUGGCAUUGCAAUCAGAGUUUUGAGAGUGCUUCUGACCCACUCUAGAGAAUCCGGAGUAACUUCUACUGAGAAUGUCUAAUGUGCACCUACUUCAGUUAGCCAGUACAUUAUCGACUGUGAAUAUUGUGGUAUUUCAUUGAUUUUUUAGUAUUUUUUUAGCUUGAAUAUUUUGUAUUUUUCAGUCAUUAUAUAACACUGUACACUCCUAAAGGCAUUAAAAAAUGCUCUCUCUUUUCUCUCUCUCCUAGAAGCCCAUCCGUCGCAACAAUAACUCCACCUGCCGGAAACAACAGUGAAGCAGCCAUUGGUAGGGAAAAAUGUGACGGCUAUCUACAAUUACUAUCGAACAACUGAUGACAUCUACUCCUCUCCUCAUGACACAACCCCAUGCAUUCGUUUUAAAAGGUACACACUCUUUCUCUAACUCAACUUAUUCUCCCUUCCCUUACUCUUGCAGAUGUAGAUGCUGAGUCAUCGAACUGGAUUAACAACACUGCGUGUUCUGACUCAUUACUACUUUGUGUUUCUCAAGUUGUUCCUUCAGCCACUUAUCUUUUCAUAAUUAUCAUUGAUUAUUUUGGUUUACAUUUAUCACGUUGAAAAAGCAAGGAUAACAAAUUAUUUAUUCAUUUAAGACAAAUUGCAUUGUUCUAUCAUCACCUAUGUAAAAACCCAAAUGAGGAGAAACACAUCCACCUCAUGGGACCAAUGAGAUGGUCUAUUGUAACCUCUCCAAAAUAAAAAAAAAAGGAGGAUAUUGGAUAUCAAUAGAGUGGCUGACACAAACUUCGCACAUCUACUAUAAAUGACUUUGGAGAUUCUGCAAUGAACAAAAACCCCUUUGGAAAAGGCUGGUUAUAGCUAAACAUAACCAAGCCUACAUUGGAGAGAUCCCCGUGAAUGGAAAAUAUAGUAGCCUAAAAGCCCCAUGGAGAUCCAUUAUAAAAGGAUUGGAUUGGUUCCUUGCCCAAGUUAAUUGGAAAGUCACCAAUGGUGAAAAUUGAUCUCUCUUUCUGAAGACGUGCUUGGAACGAAAAAGUCAUGUCUCCUUGUAUAGACCAAGGCUGUUUUCCCUCUCAAAAAUCUAAAUGGGAACUGUGUUAAGGAAGCCUGUAACCAAAACACAAUAGAAUUGGACUUCCAGCCUUGAAAGGCUUUUCGAAACUUUGGACUUGUCAACAAUGGAACAAAUUAAAAUCUCACCUCACAGCUCCUUGCAACAAAAGAGGCCUUGACACUCUGAUGUGGAAGCAUAAUACUGAUGGUACGUAAGUGCAGCAUUGCCUCGAUUAAUUAGAAAGCUAUUCAUAAUGUGGAGCCAAGAGAUGAAAUGACUAUAAACCCAAAGACCUUGAAAAACUUGUGGAAAUCGAGCAUUCCAAAAAAAAAUGUAGAUUUUUUAUUUGAUCUCUCAUUCAUGAUUGCAUUAACACAACUAACAAGCUUCAAAGAAAAGACUCCCUUGUACACAUCUCAACCCAAAUUGGUGCAUUAUGUGUAAAGCUCACUCGAAGUAUAUAAAUCACAUAUUCAUCUCCUAUUCUACUUCCUGAAAUCUAUGGGGUAAAGUUGAGACCCUUAUGAACUGAAAAAAUAACCAUCAGAACAUGGUCUCUCUCUAUAUUGAACUCUGCUCCAUCAAACAAAAGAAUAGAAAAGCCACCUAUCAUCUUCAACACUAUAACGGCUAUUCUUUUGUCUACUUGGCUGGAAAGAAAUAAUAAAGUUUUCAAAGACCAUGGAAAUCAAUUACUGAGCUUUGGGAAUACAUUCGUGCCCUCACUAGAUACCAAACUAGGUAGUAGAUCAUUCAUCCUGUUUGUUAACUAUGGCCGGAGCAGUAUAGAUUUAAGUCUUCCUGCGUUUGUUUCUUGUUUAUUGUGAUGUCUUUUGUAUUGGGGUUGAUCUCAUGCUUCUUGCAGUGGAUUUUUAGUAGAUUUUUGUUAUUAUUAAUGAACUAGGGAUCAUAAUGAAAGUGUUUAAGAGGUGUCCACCUAUUGAAGAUGUCGUGAUGCAAUUGCCGACAUAAUCAGAUCUCUUACAAAAACACAAAUUACAUUGCUACACUCAAACAUAACUUAUUAAAUUGUUUUUCUUAAAAACUCAUUUAAAGUACUUUAUUAAAUUGUGUACUUCUAUGAAGAACAAAUGUAGCAUUUAAUAGACUUAUGGCUCCCCUAACUUUCCACACACAUUGUCUUCUCACCUUAACCUCAAUAAGGUGAAUAAAUUCUCAUUUAAUAUGGUUGGUUAAGUAAAAAUUUUUUUUAAAACGUUUUAGUUUUUUUUUGUUUGAAGUUGUUCAAAUUUAAUGGUUGUAUAUUCAAUAAAUAUUAUAAUAUUGUAUCAAAUUUUUUAGAUAAAAUUAUUAAAAGACAACAAUAAUUUUAAUGCAAUAAAAUACAACGUGUGAAUACAUUUUGAAAAAUUAUAGUAAAAAAAGAUAAUAGUUCAUAAAAAAAAUUCACAAAAAAAUAAUAGUAGAUGGAUAGUUGAGACUAAAUUUAAAAUAUAAUAAUAAUGUUAAUGCAAUAACAUACAAUAUGUGAAUACAUCUUGAAAAAUUAAAAAGAUGCUAAAAGGAUGACUCAGUGGGGAUGUUGGGUGCACCUACGGACCCAUAUGUUAUUCUUUUGAAAAAAAGAUAGUCGGACCUAAAUUUAAGAUAUAUUAAAGUGUGAAAUUAGAUUUUUUUUUUUUCUUUAUGACAUUAAAUUGACCUCAACGAGAUUCAUUGUGAAGCAGUAAGAACUAUUUAAUUGAAAACUUUUUUCUUGACAUAAUACUUGAAUUGAUUUUUUUAAACAUUCAAUUAAAAUGUGAUUCAAAGAAUGUUAUAGAAAAAUAAAAAUCUUUAUCAUAACAAUAAUUAUAAAGUAUUUAUUUUAUUCCAUGGGUGAAUUAAAAUUCACACACACAUACACACAAGUAAAUGUCAUAUAUAUUUAGAAGUUUAGAUACAAUAAUCAUCACAAAGUUCACACUUGUUGGGCCAAAGAAGGUUACAUGAGGGAUGACUUUUUAGUCACUUUGAUGGAGUUUUUAUCACUCUUGCCAAACAUUUGUCUAUAGGAUGAGAAAUGGGCAAGUAAUUUAAUUUGCAUUCAGGAUUAAGUCGCUCUAUCCUGCAUUUAUUCAACACGUAUAUUUAUCCAUAAUAUAUAUAUUUUUUAAAAAAAGUUAAAAGCAAUUUAAUAACAAUUUUAUUUCGAUAAGUUUGACUGUGAAUGGUAAUCAUUUUGUUUUUAGUUUUUGGUUUUUGAAACUAAGUUUAUAGGAUACAUUUUCCAUCUCUGUCUGUUGUUUUGAUUUACAUACAUGGAUGUAUAUAUAUAUAUAUAUGUAUAUAUAAACAUUAAAUAAAAUAACUCUACUUUUUUUGUAUUGGAUAUCUUGUUUUCAAAUUCUCUACCAAAUAAACUUAGUUAUUAUACGUGAUUGAUCACAUUUUUCAUUUCGUAAAAACAUUUCUAUUUAUUUAAAAUUAAACAAAAGCAUGUUGAGGUUGACAAAUUUAUGUUUAUUUUGUGUCAGAAGUUUAUUGAAGAUAAAAAGUUGGAUGAAACUCACCUGUAAUUGAGGACAAAAUAAUGAAGGAAAAUUGAGAUCUCCAUUCUGGCAAGAUCACGUCCCGGGCACAUCCUAACUCCUAGUCCAAAGGGAGUAAAAACACCAGAAUUUCUUCCAAAAUUCUGUUUAAAAAAAUGCAAGAAAAUGUUUUCAAAUAUAACAAAAUGAAUCAAAAUAUUUAUAAAUAUAUAAAAUGUCAUUAUUUAUCGGUGAUAGAUGAUAGACCCUAAUAAAAUACUAUCAUCUAUCACAUGUAGAAAUUGAUACUAAUUGCUAAAAUGAGUUUAGUUUAAUUGACAUUUGUAUGCUCUUAAGAACAACAAGUUUUGGAAAAUCAAAUAUGUCAUCAUCUAUCACGAGGUUGGAAACUAAACAUAAAAAUUAAAAUGUUAUAGUUUGAGAUCCAAAAAAACCAAAAUAAAUGUAAGCAAAACUAUAUUCAAAACUUAGGAUUAUAUAUAUAUAUAUAUAUCAAUUUUGGGAGACAUACUAAAUUUAGUCCAUUUAUAUUUUGCAUCUAAAAGAUUAGUUGUUGAAUUAACAAAUUAAAAACAUAAAAAAAAAAAAAAAAGAAUAUGCAUAAAUAAGUAGAGGUAUUUAAUAAAUGCAUACAUCCCAUCUGGAAGGAUUGAAUUGUUGGGGGGAAGGAUGUAGUUUUUGGUCCAUGUUAAGCCCUCGAAACCAAGGUAUGACUUUCCAUCCCUUUGGUAUUAUUUUACCUAAAAACAAUCAAAAUAUAUAAUACAAAGUUAUUGCACUUACUCAAUGUAUAUAGGGAAAAUAUUUUACCUUUUUUAGCUAGAAGGAUAUUAUACAAACCGGCCUUUAUAGAAGGGUACGGUUUGAGACUUAAUCUGGGAUGAAAGUGAAAAAUAUAGUCAUAAACCAACCGUUAAUUUCAACAUCAACUGUUGCCUCACGAAAAGCAGCAAAUACCAUACUACUUAAGCGAAGCGUCUCAUCUAUAACCUGGAUAUUAUACAAAAAGUAUAUAGAUCAAUUAAUAGUUAUAAUUCAAUAAUAUUACUAGAUUUUGAAAAUAUAUAAUAGAUAAGCAUAUUAGAGGAUAUAUAAACACAUCUCAUCUAGGUCGACAUCUCUCUAUAGCAUCCUCAUCACACCUCAAAACCAAAAACGAUAUCAUUGAUCGAUGGAAAGGUACAAAACAAACGAGAAAGAAACACAAAUAGCUAUAUAAAAGAUUACAAAACCUCUUUCUAGUUGAGCCAUAGAGUAGCAAUUCUAGUUACUAUAUUCAGAUACUUGUUGGUGGUGUUUAUUAAAAUAUUAUUUGCUAUUAUAUGACAAUCAUAUUAGUUAAAACUAGUUGUUGAAUUCAAGAGUCACUGCUAUUACAAAAAAGGGCUUUCUUGACGCUUGUAGUUUUGAAUACUUGACGAUUUUUGAAAAAAGGUCAAGAAAUAGGUUACUUUAAAUAAAAAACGUCAAGAUUUUUUAUGAAAAAACGGAGGUAGGAAAUUUUUUAACUUUCUUGACGUUUUUAAACGUCAAGUAAUAAGUAUUUUUUCUUGACGUUUUUAAAACGUCAAGAAGUUUAUAUUAAUUCUUGACAUUUUUAAAACGUCAAGAAUUUUUAUAAAUUCGAUAUUCUUGACGGUUUUUAAACAUCAAGUGAUAAAUAUUUGUUUUUGAUGUUUUAAAAACGUCAAGAAAAUUUUAAAUUCUUGACGUUUUAAAACAUCAAGAAUUUUUAUGAAAAUACGGAAGUGAGGUAAUUUUCCAAACUUCUUGACGUUUUUUAAACGUCAAGUGAGAUAAUUUUCUUGACGUUUUAAAAAUGUCAAGUUUAUGAAAUAAGUGGAAAAAAAAUGGAAACACGCACGUGGAUUGUAGCUAGACAAACCCUAGAAAAAUGAAACGCUUCUUCACGCCUCUCAUUCGAAGAUAAAAUCGUCGUCUGAUAUCCUUCAUGCCUCUCCUUCAAAAACGAAACGCCACCUGAUAUUCUUCCCGCCUAUCCUUCGAAAAUGAAACUUCAUUUACCGUGCUCCGUUUGUAAUCGUCGUCGAGGAAGAACUUCAUCUGUACUUCGUUCGAAAUUGUCGUCUGAAAACAAAACGAGCUUCAUCUGAACUCCGUUUGAAAUUGUCGCCUAAUCCAUUCAAAAACGAUGCUUCUUGAUCACCGUGCUCCAUUCACCGUGCGCCGCAGUCCAUUCGUCGUGCUUCCUUGUACCACCGUCGUUUUAACUUUUGGAAUUAUGUUUAAUGGUUCAUCUCUCAUUCUCUAUUUUUUCUUUGUUUAGGGAUGUUCGUUCCAUUCCUUAAAGGUCAAGGUAAUAAGGAGCAGCUACAAAAGGUUUAGUUUCUAUUUUACUUGUAUUUAUUCUUUUGGAAAAAUUCGAUAGAUUUCAUGUACUUAGUUUCUUUGUAAAAAUUUUAUCUAUGUUAUUGUUAUAUAUGAAAGUUCUUAUUUAUAUGUGUACUAGUUUUGUGUUAAAAUAGAAUCACUGAAUUAUAGGAACAAGAAUAUAAUUGAUUACAAUUUUUUUUUAUAAAAAAAAUCAUAACAUACUUGACGGUUUUAAAAUGUCAUAAACAAGUGCAUCCUUGACGGUUUUCAAUGUCAUAAACAAUCAAUUUCUUGACGGUUAUUAAAUGUCAUGAACACUUAUAAUCUUGAUGGUUUUAAACUGUUACAAACACUCAUACUCUUGACAGUUUUGAACUGUCAUGGACAUUUGUAUACUUGACGUUUAUAAAACGUCAACGUUCAAUAUUCUUGACGUUUUUAUCAACCGUCAAGAACUUUGGCUUUCUUGACACUAGCUUUAACGAUGGUUUUAAAACCGUCAAGAAUAGUGAUUCUUGACAGUUUAAAAACGUCGAGAGAGCCUGUUUUUGUAGUAGUGCACGUAAAUACAAUUUUUUUUUUGAAUGGCCGUUUUCACAAAGAACAUUUAUGAUUAAUGACCUGUCUUCUUGUAAACUUUUAAAGUAUUCUAACUUUUUUACUUAUUGUGUUAGGAAUGACCAUCUCUAUGACGUUUUGUGAUGAGGACAGAUGUUUAAUCAUAAAGGGAUAUCAACAACCGUCAAAGAAAACUCAACAAUUAAUCACGUAAAACUUUAACACGAAUUCUUUUAGGUUAAGAAUCUUAAAAAUGUUAUGAAAUCAAAAUUGAUUACCAAUCAAACUUAAUGUUCAAAUUAAAAUAAAAAUAAAAGGAAAUGAAUUAAAAUAAAAAUACCUGAGAAAGAAAUUUCAUUUGUUUAAUCUCUGAUAGACUUACACCCUUUUGUGUUGAGGCUCUUCUGAUGAUGAUAUCUUCUUGUUCUUCCUAAAACCAAUUCUUAAACUUAACAACAAAAUAAUAAUUUUUUUUUUCAUAAUAAUAAAAUUAAUAAAAAAUACUAGAUUACUAUGUUAUCCAUGAUCAUAUGUUCCUAGUAUUAAAUUUUUGGUCGUUUUAUCGACGUGUCAAUAUUCUUAUAUUUCAAUGAGUUUGACAUCGACUUCAAAUGUAAAUCAAUAUUUUCAUUAUAUACAUAUAUAUAUUUAAAUAUAGAAGGUAAGAAAAUAAACAAUAACAUGUUACUUAUGUUAAAUAUAAUAUAAAUAAUAAUAAACAUGCUUACUACUCUCGUUAAAUAAUAAAUAUCCUAAUAAUAUAUUUAUUUACUAAUAUAAUUUGAAUUUUUUUUUUAUUUUGUCUGUUAUAAAUUUCUAAGAAAUGUCCAUCAACACAAAUAUUUUAACCAAACUUUUUCAUUUAUAUUUUUACAAAAGCAACGUUUCCAUCUUUUUGUCGAUAUUGAUAUUUUUUUCAAACAACCAAUACCAAUUAAAUAUGCUUUUUUUUCCAAAAAAAAAAACACCAAAAACGAGAAUCAAUAGAUACACACUAGGAUAUCUCAACUAUAUUAUUGGUACAUUCAUAUAACAUCUCUUUAUUAUGAAUCUCGAAAUCGAAAUAGCAUACCCUAAAAUGUCUAUAUGAAUUUGUAGUCUAAACCUUGAUCAUGUAUAUCUUCUUAAUUAAGUUUCAUUUAUCUCAUAUACAUUAUUAUGCAAUUAAAACAUGAGUUGGGAAAUUAAAGAAGAGUCUAACCUUGGCCUUCUGGAAUAUAUGUGGAUUAUCCGUAAGAAACAAAACUGCCCACAUUGUAGUGAAGGCUGUAGUCUCUUGGCCUCCAAAUAGCAUACCAAAAAUGAUCUCUGUAAUGGUCUCAUCAUCAAAUCCUUCACCAUCUUCAUCUCUCACUUCCAUCAACAAAUCCAUCAUAUCUUUUGCUUCCCAAUUUUCCCCUUUGCUUUUCUUCACCAUUCUCUUCUCAUCCAAAUAUGAUUGAAGUAUUUCAUUCAAUCUUUUUCCAGCCUACAUAUAAUUUAUACAUUUCUUUUCGUUGUAUCAUACGAUAUAGUGAUUAUUGUAGAGUAGAUUAAUUGAAAAUAUAUUUCACAUAUAUGAUAAAAGUUAUCGACACUUCGUCACAUUUGUAUUAGAAAUUAUUUUUGUUCUUACCAUGAGUGCUUUAUGGAAGGGUAAGCCAGGAAAGUUGAGUGGCAGAGUGAAGAACGCAAGUGCAAUAUUCUCAUUCAAAGUCUCCAUUUCUCUUAUAGAAGUGCUUUUUAUUGGAGUUGAACCCAUAAAAAUGUUCCAAAUAAUUUUGAAGGUAAGAUGCUUUAUCGUUGUUAAUAACUCCAAUGGCUUCUCCAUGCUUGACCAUUCCUCCAACCCACUAAUUACAGUGUGUUCAAUAUGAUCAAUGUACAUCUCGAGCGCCGCGUGGCCGCUGAUCGGUGCUGUUGUCAGCCGUCGGAGCUUCCGAUGCUCCUCCUUCGAGACUUGAAGCAGUGAUUUUUUACCAAAUACGGUUGUCAUGGUUUUGGGAUAACCAAGAAUGAACUUGGUUUCAUCAGUUAAUACUUGACGACAUAUUUCAGGUUUGCAGACGAUUACAGUUGGUUUUCCAAAUAUGUGAGUCUUGUACAUAUCAAGUUUCCCAUAUCUAAUCAAAGAAGAAGAAAAGGAAAAAUAAAAUAAUUAGUAACUUGGGUUAUGUAACUACUUGAAAGCACGUGAAGUCUCGUAGUUUUAUUUUAGAAGAACUUAAUUAAAACAUACCAUAAGUUUAACAUCAAAUUAAUAUUCUAUAGUUUUACUUUAUAGCGUAAAAGUUUUUAUUUCAGUACGCAUUUUCAUAAUAAAAAAAAAGUUAAUAAUAUGGUACAAACUAAAAGAUUAUGAUGGUCAUUUGGUAAUAUUUUAGCCUAAUGUCGUAACAAUUUUUUAUUUUAUGUUUUCACAUAUCUACCAUAUAUAUAUAUAGUAACUAUAACAAAUUUGAUAAAAACUUUUUUGUCGAUAUAAGAACAUAAAGAUAUUUUCACUUGUGUUAGAGUGUUUGAAAAUUAUAUUUUAAAUAAGAGAAUGAGAAAAACGUAUAGAAAAUUUAUUGUAAUUAAAAGACAAAACUUCUAAAAAUAUUAGAAUUUAUUUGUGAAUAGACAUUAAUACAUUUUUGUCCAUGUCUAAAUGUUUCUAAAAGGUUGAAAGUUCAAUUAUGCAUCAAUUUGGGUAUGAGUUGUUUUUCAAUUUAUUUGUUUUGCACAUGUUUUCAAAAUCAAAAUCAUGUUGGAAAACUAAAGAUCACUUAAAAAAAAACAAUUAGUGGGGGAUUUGGCUGGUAGAAUUAUAUGACAAACAAUAUCUUUGAGAAAGAUGAAACUAUCAUGACAAUAAGAGAUAUAGAAGAAAACAUUAACAAAAUUUUAAAAUCUCCAAAAUCAAAUAAUACAGUUGCCAAAGGGUUGACUAACUACUACAAUUUUCUUUUCUUUUGACGUAUUUAUAGUGAGUUCCACGAUCUCUUCUAAUGAAUAUUCUCUCACAUAAUUGUUUUAUUUUUAAAAAAUUAAACUUAUAUUUACUGAGUUGAAUUUUAGUUUUUAAAUUUUGACUUUAACUUACAUUUUAAAAAAGUGCUAAGAUCGAAGGCUCGAUGAGUGUAUCUAAACAUUUCAACUAGGUUGACAAUUGACACGCCUCCUAAAGCUUCCACAUCAUACCUCGGUCCAAAAAUGCAUUGAUAUAAGAAAAAUGUUGACACCAAGACAUCUCAAAUUUCGACUUAACUUUUAGCUACAAGUGUAAACAAGUUGGAUUGGGUUGUAGGACAUGUCCAACUCAAUCCAUAUUUUUGAGUUGGUUGGGUUGACAACCCGAAUAUAUAGUAUUUCCAACUCAAUCAAAUGCAAUCCAACCCAAUGGUUGUGUUAUUCGGUUGUAUUGUUUUUUUUAUUUCAUUUCUAAUGUUUGUUAAAUUUAAAAUUGAUGUACCUAUCAUAUCGAUAAAUCUAAAGAUCUAAAAAUCCAUAGCUUCAAUGAACACUGAGAAGGGGAAGUCGAGAAGAAAGGGGAAAUAAGAUAAUCAUGCUCGUCCGAUUAUUCGAGUUAUUCAAACUAAUAAAUUUUGUUGUUUUAUUAUCAAUUACCUUUAAAAAUUAAGUGAAUUCAAGUGUUUAAUAAUUAAUAGAAUAAUGGUGAGAAAAUACAAGGAAAGCACAUACAUUUCAAAAUUUGAAAACUAGAAAACAAAAUAUUGUUAACUUUACAUGUUUAAGAAAAGCAGGUUUUCCAAGUUGAUAAUUGUUUCUAUCAACUCAACCUGAAUGAUAUUUAUAGGUUAAUUUAGUGACCAUAAUAGUCAACUUAAUGCUGAGCUAAAUACCCAAAGUGUUUUGUAGUAGUAAGUGAGAAGAUUUUUUUAUAUAUAUAAUUUUGAGGACCUUAUAAUAAUUUUUUUAACAAAGUAGAACAAGAUCGAUGGAUGCAUCGAGAAAUCUCAACUAAAUUAACACUUGCGUAUGUAGCAAACUCAUCAUACAUACUUGAUGUCAUGCUAAACUAUAAUAUAUACACACAUGAAUUUGUGAAUUUAAAGAAGAGAACUAAUUUAAAAGUAAGUUUUCAAAUAAAUUAGAGUGGGAAACUUAUUUGAAAAUCAUUAUUUGUCUCUCAAUACAUGUGUAGAAUGGAUGGCUGGAUGCAAAAGAGUGAGGACAUAUAUACCUUCUUGAGAAGUCACCAAUGAAACCGUCUGGUGAACCAAAAGUGAAAUAUUUGAGAAAGGAUAGAGUAGAACCAAUAAGUGGCCAAGAUAGAUCACCAGGAGGAAGUUCAUCCCAUUUCUUCCCUAAUUUCAAUGCAUAAUACAAAUUAUUCAAUCUCUUCAAAACCCCAAACCCUAAAACAAAACCCACACAAGGAACAAUCAACAACAGCCAAUUUAUCAUCAACUCCAUUAUUUUGAUAUUUCUCUCCACUUCAACACACCUUUGCUUUUUAUAUCAACAUAUUUUUUUGGCUUCUUCACAAUUCUAAUUUUUUAUUGCUCAUCUCUCUGAUUAUAUCUUCUUAAGUAUAUUGUACUUAAGUAAUAAUCCUUGGUGUUGAAUCUCUCAUUCCUACUUCCCAAAAAAAAAUAUCCAAUAAAUUUCUAUUUUUUUUUGGUAAAAAAUACCUCUAAACUUCUAAAAGUUUUAAGAAUAUUUUUAAAAUUAAAAUAAUUGUAAAAAAAAAUACCUCUUAACUAUUGAAAAGUUUCAAAUAUAUAUAUAAUUAAAGUUGAUUUUUUUUUUAAAAAAAAAUACUCUCAAAAUUAGUAUAUGAAAUGAAAUCGUUAAUAUCUUACUGCGAAACUAACUCUAUAUUAAAAAUAUAUCUAUCGCUAGUAUAGUGAUACAUUUAUUUGAAGUCUUUUUUUGUUUGAAAAGAAUCAAUUUGAAAAUAAACUAUAUUGACCUUCAGUAUUUGGUCCUUAACGAUUUUGUUUUAAGAUUUUUUUUUCAUUUUUUGAAAAUUAAGCCUAUUGACGCUACUUCUCUACCUCCAAUCUUUUUAUUUGUUAUCUACUUUUAAGUGAAGAUGGUCUUAGUCUCCCUCUAAGAAAGACACUCCCUCUCUGAAAAACUUGAGCCCUCUAAGAAAGACACUUCCUCUCUGAAGAACUUGAGCUCCCCUAAAGUAAUUUGUGAAACUCUCCGUCACAGUAUUGUAUAUAUUAUCUUUCUGUUGAACAAAAUCUCAUUUGUUUGAAUGACUUGCGCUUCCAAUAAGUUUAGAGAAUUUCUUCUAAAUGUGUAAUGCCCUGAGUUUAGGAGAGGGACAUGAAUGAACCGUUAUCACAUCUGAAUGAGAGGAAUCUUGAGGACACGAAAUGAGGACAUGAAAGUAAUGUUAAGAAAGACUUAAAAGAAUUAAAAGUUACUACCUAUACCAAUAAAGUACACCUUCCUUUUCGGUAGCUCGAUCAUAGGAACUCUAAAGUUUGGCGUGCUUAACUUAGAGCAAUUCUAUGUUGGGUGACCUCUUGGAAAUUUUCCUAAGAUGCAUGUGAGUGAGGACAAAGCAUAUUGAAAGGACUCGUAUUGGUUUGUGGGGAUGACUUUCGCUCUAAUAAGCCUUUAGAACAUGUAAGGAUGAUGUUGUCAGGUCGCAGGGGAUAUAGGGGAAUGUUGGAAAUCUGAAAUUCGAGUCAUGGGCAUGAGGCGUUACACAAUGAAUCACAAAUGCAUAGAGUAGUAAGAUCAAUGGAGAAUGUCUCCAAUACAUGUAAUGUUUCCUUCUUCUAAACACAAGCCUAAACAUAACUAUAUCUAUUAGCAUUUAUAUAUAUGUCGACCAUCCCUUUUUUUUUAAAAAAAAAAAAAGCAAUGCAAUGACAUUUACGAAUUUUGAAGCCAUAAAACAAAUAUUGUCAAUCUAAUAAAACUUAACAAAUUCAAAUAAAUUUAUACUAUACUAACGAUAGAUACAUUUUUAAUUUAGAGUUAGUUUUGCAAUGCGAUACAGGUUCAGUUCAUAAACUAAUUACGAGAGUAAUCUUUUAACUUUUUUUUUUUUUAAGUUCAAGGGUAUUUUUUUAUACAAAACUUUCACAGUUUCCAUAUAAAACUAACCGCAAUGGUAGUUUUGACCUACUUUUUAAAGUUUCAGAGUAUUUUUUGAAACUUUGAAAAGUUUAAGGAUAUUUUUAAUAUAAAAUGUAAAGUUGAGGAAUAUUUUGUAUAUUUAGCGUUGUUUUUAUUUAAGAAAAAACUAGCCAAUCAAUUCCUUUUUUCCUUUAGGUCAACUAUAACAUUUAUAUUAGAAAAUUUAUAACAUUUAUUUAGAAAUGUGAACAAAGUACCAUACUUAUUGGUCGAGUAGAUAAGGUGAAAAUAAGUGAUAUAAUCAAUAAUAUCUUUUAGCUAUGCCUAAAGUAAUUAACUGUGAAAAUAACUAAGAAAAUAGAAAGAACAAAUGACACAUUAGACUUUGUUAACCCAGUUCAGUGAAUAUCACCUACGUCUGGAGAGCUUCUUAGCUCAGAUAAGCUGAAAUAUUAUUAAGAUUCAAAUGAGUAAGCAACAAUACUAUUAAGUUAUAACAAAAACAUAAUCAAAGAUAGACUCUCCUGAAUUUGUAUUUGAUUCUUGUUAAAGAUAAACUCAGACUCCACUUGAAUUUAUUAACCAUAGUUCAACUAUUUCAGUCUUAUUUCAUAUUUCUAAUCAAUAUGUGCAAUAAUGUAAAAACCACUUACAGAACUUUAGUAAUACAUCAUCUUAAAGAAGGCAACUUAACUUCCUUCACAAAUAAUAAUUUUUCAAGAGAACUUCUCUGAAGUCAAUUUUUUGACUAUUUAAAGAUCAUGAUAAUCUCCUGUAACUUCUUUAUGCAAAGAUAUAGAUAAAUGAUUCAUAUUAUGAAGGAAAAUGUUUUAUCUUUAAAUAACAUUUCCAUCUUUAAAUAAUAUCUUUUAGUUAAAUAACCACGUUAAUGAUAAUAAAAAGAAAUUAUUAUUUCUCUUUUACAAAAAUCCCUAACAUAAGGUUUAGAUCAAUUAUAUAAAAUACAUAUACAUAUACAUUCACUGGUAUGAGAUCAUUUAGGUAGUACCAAUGACGUAAAUGUCUCAACCAUGUUUGAGCCAAGACAUUGUAAAAAAUUUAUUUUUAUUCCUGAAUUAAAUUUAUAUAUAUAUAUACGCUUUGUACCUUAUCAUUGAUAAAUGAAUCAUUUUUUAUACUGGGGCAUGGUAAGGGUGCUAAAAAGGGGUGUCGAUACUAAUUGAGAUGUAUGGUAUAUCUAUUGAUUUUUUUGACUUUGUGUAUGGUUAGAUUAUUUGAUAAAUAUGAAAUUAGUUUUAUUUUUAUUUAAACAAAGAAAAAUAUGUCUUCCCUAUAUUUAGGAUCACUUAUAAAUAAGGAGUUAAAAUAUUUUCAUUAAAUAUCUCCUUUAAACAAAAAGAUAAAAGAUAUUCCUCAUAUUUAAGAAUAUUUUAUGCUAAAGAAGUUCUUAUUUAUUGGUUUAUUAAAAAGCAGAAGUUAUGAAUGUAAAAUUCGUUCUUCAUAGCUACAGUUCACAAGUUUAUUUUUUGGUGAAGAAUCUGUACGAAGGUAAAUCUGUUACCUUACAGAUAAUUGAAGAUCAUCAAGAGAUUUGACAGAGUAUCAAUUGAUAAGAAAUAUAAAUGAAGACUGAGAUAAUUGUACUAUGGUUAAUGAAUUCAGGGGAGCCUGAAUUUGUCUUCAAGGAGAUUAAAGCUUACCGUCAGGGGAGCCUAAGUUUAUACGGUUAAGUUAUGGUGAUAACUUGUUAAUGUAAUUUUAUGGUUAAGUUACAAAUUUUUUAAUCUCAAUAAUAUUUCUUAUCUGAGCAAAGAAGCUCCCCAGAUGUAGGUCGUAUUUGUCGAAUUGGGUUAUCGAAGUCUUCUAUAUUAUUUGUUCGUUUUGUUAUGUUAGCUAUUCUUGAAGUUAAUAACAUUAGUCAUAGUUGGAGGAUAUUAUUUAUUAUUUCACCUAUUUUUCAUGUAUAUUUUUAUAAAAAAAAAUUAUAUUAUCAAACAUCUAUUAAACACGAAAUUGGAGGUCAACAAAUUUAUUAAAUAUAGAAUAGUUUAUAAGUUUUAGGUGCACAUGGAAUUAAAUUGUAUAUAUAAUUGUGUUUUGUGUUUGAUCACUCAUCCUAUCAUUGCAUUACUAAAUUAAAGGUCAUCGUGUUUUUAAAAUGAGAGAAAGGCUAAUCAGCGAUAUAUUUUUUUUUGUUGGUAAUGAACACGUUAGAAUUUCUAGGAUAUGUAUUCAAAUUUUAAGUUUUAAAUAGAUUUUUUUAUAAAAAGUAAACAGAAAAAAAAUAGUUGAGAAAUCACCCAAUGCAAAAUUCAUCUCGAAAACAUGGUGGUAGCUAAAAUUACACAUUCAUACUUUCAAUAACAACAAUUUAACCCCUAAAGUUUUAAAAGUGUUAAAAUUGGAUCUUCUAACUUUGAAUUAAUCGUAAAAGUCAGAUCCAACAAUGAUAAAACUUGAACUCUCAAACUUGUAUAUAUCAUAUCAAUACAAUUAUGUAAGUUUUGACGUUUGUAAUUUUAAAAUUUAGAUGAGUUUAAGAACAUGUAACUUUAAUUAAACACCAUAGUUUAGAGAUGUUUUUGGAAUUUGUCCUAUUAUUUAUUAUUUAUCAUCUGUUGUAACCCCUAAAACAAAACCCACACAAACGAACAAUCAACAACAACCAACUUAUUAUCAAUUGAAACACACUUUUGCUUUCUAUAAUACUAACUCAAUACAAUUUUGGGAUUUAUUUUUAAAUCAAUUUUAAACAUUCCUUUUAUAUAUUGCGGAUCACGAAUGUUAUUUGAUGUGAUUGUUAUUUUUAAAUCUUUAUAUAUAUAUAUAUAUAUAUAUAUAUAUAUAUAUAUAUAUAUAUAUUUCUCCACUUGAAACACACCUUUGCUUUUUAUAAUACUAACUCAAUACAAAUUUUCUGUUGUUCAAUUCACAUGUAUUAUAUAUAAUUGUCCUUGGUGUUGAAUAUAUGUAGAUUAGCGAUAAGCUUAUUAUUCUUCUUAUUAUUAUUAUUAUUAUUAUUAUCAUCAUCAUCAUCAUUCAUAAGAAAAGGCUAAUUGACAACUUUUUAAGUUAAUUUUAUGAAUGGUUUCAAAAGUAUCCUUCGGAAUUAUUUUUAAAUCAUUUUUAAAGAUGACUUUUAUAUAUUGCGAAUCACGAAUACUAUUUGAUGCGAUGGGUUGGAAUGAAAAUUGGUUUAAUUGAUUUUAAAUUCUUUGAGGUCGAGAUUUGAGACAAUCUUAAAUUAUAUUUCUUUAUUUUUGUUUGGGAUGAGAAUGAUGAUCUUCAAUUAAUGUGUUUAAAUUUUAUGUUUUAAUAGUAGCUAAAAGAGAGAGUUUGGUACAUCAAUCGCCCAUAUUGAACUUUCCAUAUAAAUUGAAUGUUUGCAUGAUCUUAAUUAACCUAAGCUCCUCUUGAAAAAAAAAAAGGUCUAGUUGUUUAAGUUAUUUUUAAAAAGACAAAUAAAACAUUAUACACGUAACUAUUAUUCUUAAAAUUGUCACUCAUUACGGAUAAGUUUGAGGAAGGAAAGGAAUAUGGAAAAAGGGUUAUUUAAUCCUUUCCUCGUUACUUAUAGCAUCUCUUUAUCAUGUACGUCUUGAAAUCAAAAUAGCAUACCUUAAAAUGUUGAUAUCUAUAGUCUAAACCUUGAUCAUAUAUAUUUUAAUUUACGUUUCAUUUAUAUCCUAUGUACAUCACAAUUUUAACAUGAGUUAGGAAAUUAAAGAAGAGUCUAACCUUGGCCUUUUGAAAUAUAUGUGGAUUAUUUUAAAGAAACAGAACUGCCCACAUUGUAAACUAAAAAUCUUCACUAUAAUAUGGUCUCAUCAUCAAAUCUCUAACGAUCCGAACUUUCAAGUCGACCUAAGGUCAUUAUUCAAAAUAUAAACAUCAAAAGACACUUUUUGAAAAAGGAAACUAAAAUUUUUCUUUAUAAAAUCAAUAUCAAUAAAUGUUCGAAGACAUAAAAACGACAAGUCAAUAAAAAAUAAUUUAAAAACGUGACCCGUGGGUAUUAACAUUUUUUUAAGAAAUAAGGUAAACAAAUGAAACUUUAAAUAAGGUUUCUAAAACCAAAAUACGGAGAAACCUAUAUAUAAAUGCGGAAGCAAAACUAAGUCGCCAUAUGGCAUAUCAAAGAUCCUUCAUGUCGCUCGCCAACUUUCUAGAUCCUAUAUCUUUGCUUGAAAUAUUAAACAUAGAAAAGAGUGAGUAUAUAAAAUAUACCCAGUAGGGAACUCACUACUGGUUCCGCUAGGUGAUCUGUUAACUUCUCGUUAGAAACAUAAAAAUAAUGUCGUGUGUCCAAUGGAACACACCUAGACGAGUGAGAUCGUACAAGCAUCUCUAAUGGUGCGAGUGAUCUCGUAGGAACACCCCUAGUCGUAUGAGUGAUCAUAGAUACACAAUGUGCGUGAGACCGUAUGAUCACUCCCUAAUUGUGCGAUGGAUCCCGAAGGAACACCCCUAAUUGUGCGAGUGAUCGCAGGUACACAGUCCAUAAACAUGUCUGUAAUACUUAGGUACACUCCUAAUUGUGUGAUUGGUCUCGUCAAAACACCCCUAGUCAUGUGAGUGGUUGACCCCAUAUACAUAGUAAAAAUAUCCCCUAACCGAACAUCUGAUAUGUAGGUAUACCCCUAAAUCGUGCGAGUGUUUUCGUAGGAACACCCCUAGUUGUGUGAGUGACAGAUUGGUUGUUUGUUUUGGGACAAAUUGGGACUUAUUAAUUUUGCAUUUGUAUAGUGAAAUCGCAAUACGUCACGAAGUAGGUUCAUCGCGCGUAAGAUGCUCGCCAUAUCUUUAUGUAUUAUUCGAUUAAUUCUAUGCGAUAAGUCAUGAGUCAUGAUCAUAGCAUGCGAAAUGCUCACUAUGUACCUUUUCAUCGUGUAAUAGCUAAGUUCUCGUUGAGUACAAGUUUUUUUAUUGUUCACCCAAGUGAAAGCGAACAACAAGUUACCUAGAUGAUCCAAGAUCGAACACAGAAAAUUGGUUCCAAACAUUAGUUCUAGGGUCUACUUAUCUUUUAAGUGUUAUGGUGAUUGAGUUAAAAGAAUAUAAAAAGAACUAAAGCUACUUACUUACACCUAGAGACUCUUGCACAAGAGAAUAAAUUUUGGGAAGAUUGAGGGAACUAACUUGUAUGUGAGAAAAAGGUAAAAGAAUGUCUAUGCCUUAUUAGUCAAUUAAGCAAUGCGAAAGCUUCGAUGCGAUAUAACUUACAUAAUUAGCUCACGAUUAAGGUGACCUUCUCUCGAAGUGUUUAAAUGUCACACUUGCUCACCUUUCGAGAUGCAAAUGACUAUGUGUAACGAUCCAACUUCUAAAACUAAACUAAUGUCAUUACUUUCACACAAAGACACUUCGUUUAAACAUAAAAGUUCAUAAAAUCUGUUUAAAAUCAAAUAGACAUCAAACAAUCUUUAUUUGGUCCCUAUUUCAAACAAAAUAAACGUUCGAAAGUAUCGUUUAUAAAAUCACCAAGAAAUGAACAAUUUUUUUUAAAACAUGAAACUCAUUUCAAUCAUCAAUACUUAAGAGAAACAGUAAAACAUUAAAAAUUGUAAACGAAAGCAUUUUGAAAGAGUGUUCCCAUAUGACAAUCACGAGUCCUUGUCCCUCAUCGAUCUACCUCUCGUAUUACCUUUGCCUGAAAAAGCUAAACAUGAAAAAAGGGUGAGUAUAAGGUAUACCCAGUUAGAAACCCACUACGAUUCCCAUUAGGGGUAAAAACAAUUAACUUCCUAUUGGGAAAUACCCUACAUCAUAACAGUAUUGUGAUCCCGUAGGAUGCACAUAAUCAAUCUUGUGAUCCCGAAGGAUGCACAUAUUAGUCUAGUGAUCCCGAAUGAUGCACAUAUUAGUCUAGUGAUCCCGAAGGAUGCACAUAUGUGGUGAUCCCAUAGGACACAUGCAAGGUACACCACCCCAUAGAUAAAGUUAACAGUUUUCCCUCAGUCUAUUCUAACAGUCCAAAACAGUCACAUCAAUUUACAAUUAAAACUAUCAACAAUUCUCCUUCUCUACACAUAGCCAGUCAAAAUUAAGCAUAUUAAUGCAUAACACAGUUCAAUCAACAUUACGUGUCAUCAAACAACACAUUCAAAUCUAUAUAACAGUCAAACUAUCUCAGUUCAAUGUAUCCAUCAACAUAUUCAAAUCUACAUAUAGCAGUCAAAUCCUUUCAGUCAAUACAUUCCAACUUUAACAUAGGGUCCAGUAGUAGAAAUUCCUUACCUUAACUUUACCUAAACUCCUUGGUCGAAAUCAAGUCCAAUGAACCAAACCUAAACAUAAAGAUCAGAAGCUCAAGACUUUCUUAAACAAUAUCAUCCAUUCAAUUCACCCAAAUGUGAAUUUCAUAACUUAUCCAAGUAGAUGGAGAAUCGAACUCCAACCAAAGUUGUUGGAAACUAAAGGAUUCGAGCACUAACUACCCAAUAUCACCUUCAAGGAUCAAAUGACAACCCAAUCAAUUACUCCAACAUUAAUACUUAAAAUAGUUAUGAAAAAGACAACCACAAAACCCAAAAAUUACAUCCUUACCACAAAAUGGCUCAAGUGGCUACAAGAAAAGGAAGAAAGCUAGUGGCUAAAAAAUGUCCUAAUAACGGGUAUAUCUACACGUUAUCAAUGACCUCAUAGAUAGGAUCACAAUACAGGUGGGAUAAAAGUUCAACAGACAAAGUUAACAGACACACCACACUCCAAAAGCAUGUAGCAACAUCAUAAACAUCAAUCAUAAUGUCUAUCAUGUGAUUGAUAUAUCAUGUGUCAUAACAUAUCAAUCAUCAACAUCAACACAUUAUGCAUAUUAGCUACAUCAAUGCAUAAUAAAGGAAGAAGUUGAGACGAGAGGAAGAAUCGGUGUCGUAGAAAGAUUUGAGGCGGUGAAGUUGAUCGUGAAGUAGGAAAGUGACGUGUGUGACCUAAAUGACCUAAAUAUCAUUGAUUCGGGUUGGGUUGGGUUGUUGAACUAAAUUCUUCAACCCCCAACCUGAUACCCAACCCAACCAGAAAAAAAUUAAAUCUUUUAACUCAACUCAACACUUAUAAUAUGGGUUUUGGAUAGUUCGGGUUAUUCUUAUGCCAUUACUUUUAGCCAUAAAUAGUAAACUUAUUUGUUUUAUUACUACAAGAAUUUUUGUCUUUACAGACGCAAGAAAACGUGGGCACAACUUCUACCGACGUUAUUUUUGUGUGGGCACGUUGCGUGGCUGAAACACCGUCGUCUUUUCCUUAGCCCUCGUUUUUUAUGUUGCGUUGGCAAAAAUGCCCACACAAAUUAAAAUCGUUGGCAGAAAAAAUAUUUCUAGCCACGAAAAAAACGUCGACAGAAAUGUGUUUUUGCCCAUGAUCAUCAUCCCAUCGGCAAAAAUAUAUUUUCUGGUCAUGAAAAAAACGUUGGCAAAAAGGUAUUUCUACCCACGAUCAUCAUCACGUCAACAAAAAUAAACUUUAUGUCCACGUUUGUUUCAUGGGCAAAAAUUGUUUUUUGCCAACAAAAAAGAUUUUUUCGGCAAAAAUAAAAUUUCUUCCCAUGCUAAAUUUAUUUUUAAAUAAUAUUUUAUUCGUUUUUGCCCAUGCACGAACGCCACACAAAGAACGUGGCAAAAACGAUUUAAAUUUUUCACAUUUAUUAUUAAUAUUGUAUGUUUCGAAAUAAAAUUUCAAAUAUAUAAUGAAUUUCUUGCCUAUAACAAAAUAUAUUGAACACUACAAACAAAAAUUUAAAAAUAAAAAUAUUUUCAACCAUUAAUAUUUUGUUAAAAUAUGACAAUCUAUAAUUCAAUAUACUUUGUCAAAAUAUGACAAACAAUAAUGCUCUAGUGUGCCAAGGUUCAUGAAAUAUAUUAUAUUUCAUUUUGGCAUACCAAAAUGAACAAAAAAAAUUACAUACACAAAAAAAUGGUUAACUUGGUUAGAAAGUCUUUAUGUCUCACUCCUGCAAACUGCAUAAACUUGAGAAAGGUACAUUAAAAUGAACAAGUCUCAUUUCAUUUUAAAGUGAAGGUUCAAAUUAAACAACGUGCAUAGCCUAAGUUAGGCAAAUAACUUCAAUGUUUACCUGUCUAAAUUAGGCGGCACAACAUUUACAAGAAACCAAAUCUAAAAUUUCAAUUAUAAUUAGGCAUGUACACAAAAAAAAAAACAUUAUUUCAAGUACGUGACCACCAACUAUUUGCAUAUUUCAGCGUAAGGUUUCUUGAUUCAAUCAUAUCCAACUCGAAAAUAAAUAUUUAUUUAAUAUUUUUACAAAACGGAAUGAUUUGCAAAUACACUGUAUAUUCUGGAUUAUAUUACAUCAUUUAACCUACACAAAUACACUAUAUCUACACCAAACGAUUUUGCUAUAAAUCAAAAUAUUUUAUCUAAAUUGUGUACUAAUAUAAAUCAAAUUUAGGCUAGCCGAACUUUCCGCCAUAUCUAUUCUCUUCUCACCUCAAUUAAAAAGGUGAAUAAAUUCUCAUUUAAUAUGUUUGGUAAAGUAAAAAUAAUAAUUCAAACGUUUUAAUUUUUCUUUCUAUGAAGUUGUUGAAUUUUAGUGCUUGUAUAUUCAAUAAAUAUUAUAUUUUAUUAAAAAAAUUUAGAUAAAAUUAUUGUAAUUUUAAUGCAAUAAAAUACAACAUGUGAAUACAUUUUGAAAAACUACAGUGAAAAAAGAUAAUAGUUCAUACAAAAAAUAACAAUAAAUUGUCUGAUAGUUGGGACUAAAUUUAAAAUAUAAUAAUAUUUUUCAUCCAAUAAAAUAAAUUUUGAAAAAUGAGUGAGAUGCUAAAAAAAAUGUUUACCUAUUAUUUUCUAAAAAUGUAGUUGAGACUAAAUAUAUAUUAAAGUUGUGAAAUUAGAUCUUUUAAAUGAGAAAUUAAAUUAAGCUAAACGAGGAUUCGUAUUGAAACAAUAAGAACUAUUUAAUCGAAAACUUUUUUUGACAUAAUAAUUGAAUUAAAAUGUGAUUCAAGAAUGUUAUAGAAUAAUUAAAAUGUUUAUCAUAACAAUAAUAAAGUAUUUAUUUUAUUUGAUGGGUGAAUUAAAAUUCACACACAUAUACAUACAAGUACAUGUUGAUCACAAAGUUCACACUUUGUUGGUCCAAAGAAGGUUACAUGAGGGAUGACUUUUUAGUCACUUUCAUUGGAGUUUUAUCACUCUUGCCAAGCAUUUGUCUAUAGGAUGAGAAAUAGGUAAGUAAUUCAAUUUGCAUUCAGGAUUAAGUCGCUCUAUCCUGCAUUUACCCAGCACGUAUAUUUAUCGAUAAUAUAUUUUUUAAAAGAAAAGUUGAAGACAAUUUAAUAACAAUUUUAUUUCAAUAGGUUCGAUCAUGAUUGGUAAUCAUUUUGUUUUUGGUUUUUGAAAAUUAAGCUUAUAGGGUACAUUUUCUUCCGUCUCUAAAUUUCUUGUUUUGAUAUGAAUGAAUGCAUAUAUAUAAAAAUAUUAAAUACAAUAACUUUAAUUUUUUCUUUUUUUUUAUUGUGAUUUUUCCUUUUUUUUUUUUUAUUGAAUCUCUUGUUUUCAAAUUCUCUACCAAAUAAACUUAGUUACUUGACGUAAUUGAUCACAUUUUUCCUUUUGUAGAAACAUUUCUAUAUAUUUAAAAAACAAAAGCGUAUUGAGCCUGACAAAUUUAUGUUUAUUUUGUGUCAAAAGUUUAUAGAAGAUAAAAAGUUAUAUGAAACUCACUUGUAAUUGAGGACAAAAUAAUGAAGAAAAAUUGAGAUCUCCAUUCUGGCAAGAUCACGUCCCGGGCACAUCCUAACUCCUAGUCCAAAAGGAGUAAAAGCACCUGGGCUUCCUCUAAAAUUCUGUUUAAAAAAAUAAGAAAAAUAUUUUCAAAUAUAGCAAAAUAAAUCAAAAUAUUAACAAAAUGUCAUUAUUUAUAAGUGAUAGAUGAUAGUACUCUAAUAAAUGAGUUUAGUUUAACUGAUAUUUGUAUGUUUUUUAGGACAAUUGGUUCCCGAUUUAAAUCAAAUCUACGUGGAUUUAUCAUAAUCUAUCUCUAAUGGAUAAUGAUAUUUUGUUAUAAUUUCUAAAUGUUGAGUUUCAUUUUUUACCAAGACUGUUGACUAAUUCCCACUUUUAAUCAAUUUUAUUAUUUUUAUCAACUAAUUAAAUUUUUUUCAUGAAUCUUUUUCUUUUAAAAUUAAAUGAAAAUUCCACAUCAUAAUUAUUUUAAAUAAAAUAAAAAAAAUAGCAUAAAAAAGAUGAGAAAGUACUAAUCAAACUUACUUAUCGUGUAAAACCAAAAAAAAAACUCACUUAUUAAAUAGAAACUAAAUUCAAAACUAUAACAGGUUGAAAUUCAAAAACCAAAUAAUGUCCAACAAAACUAAAAUUUAGGACUUUUAUAUAUAUAUAUAUAUAUAUAUAUAUAUAUAUAUAUAUAUAUAUAUAUAUAUAUAUAUAUCUCGAUUUGAGGAGACAUGCUAAAUUGAGUCAAUUUAUAUUUUGCAUCUAAAAAUUUAGUGGUUGAAUUAACAAAUUAAAAACAUAAAUAAAAAAUAAAAGAAUAUGCAUAAAUAAGUAGAGGUAUUUAAUAAAUGCAUACAUCCCAUCUUGAAGGAUUGAAGUGUUGAGGGGAAGGAUGUAGUUUUUGGUCCAUGUUAAGCCCUCGAAGCCAAAGUAUGACUCUCCAUCCCUUUGGUAUUAUUUUACCUAAAACAAUCAAAAUAUACAAUACAAAGUUAUUACAAUCACUCAAUAUAUAUAUACAGGAAAAAUAUUUUAACUUCCUUAGCUAGAAGGAUAUUACACAAACCCCUUUAUAGAAGGGUACGAUUUGAGACCUAAUUUGGGAUGAAUGAGAAAAAUAUAGCGAUCAACUAACCAUUAAUUUCAAUAUCUUCUGUUGCCUCACGAAAAGAAAUAAAUGCAACACUACUUAGUCGAAGCGUCUCAUCUAUAACCUGGAUAUUAUAUAAAAUAAUAUAUAAAAUUAAUAGUUAUAAUUCAAUAUUACUAGAUUUUGAAAAUAUGUACAAGGCAAGAGAGGAUAAGAGGGUACAUCAAAACAUCUCAACUUGGUUGACAUUUUGUGGUAGCACCCUCAUCACGUCACAAGACCAAAAGUGAUAUUAUUGAUUGAUGAAAAGGCACAAAACAAACUAGAGAUCAAAAACUCAAAAAGCUAUAUAAGAGAUUACAAAAUCGUUUUCCAGUUGAACUAUAUGUAGUAGCAAUUCUAUUUAGAUACUCUUGUUCAUGGUGUUUAUUGAAAAAUUAUUUAUUAUUCUAUGAUAAUCAUAUUAGUUAGAACUAGUUGUCAAACCCAAGAGUAACGUAAAUAUAUAUUUUUGUUUGAAUGGUUGUUUUCACGAAAGCCCUCAUGAUUAAUGACCGUACCUGCCCUCUCACAAACUUUUAAAGUAUUCUAACUUAUUUCUUAUUCGGUUAGGAUGACUAUUAUCUCUAUAUGCCAUUUAUUUUUUAUCAUAGCUUGUUAGAAUAUUCCAUAAAUACAGGGUAAGACAUUAUGAAAAUCAAUCUUUAUGCAUUAGGGGUAUGGUUACGUGAAUAUAUAGGGUGGGGAAAUCACAAUCUUUAUAGCGUAUAAUUGCAAUAGAAAGUCGUCCUCAUCUAAUUAGGACUAUGAUAUACAUGGUUAUCCUUUAAAAUGUGGUAGUGUGCUAUUACUUAAUUCAAAAAGUUAUAUUUCAUAAAUUUGUGAAGAUGAUAAAUCUUUAAUCUUGAAGGGAUCAAUCGUAGAAAAGUUCUCAACAAUUAAUCAUGAAAAAUUUUAACAUUAAUUCUUUUAUGUUAAGAAUUUAAAAACAUUAUGCAAUAAAAAUUGAUUACCAACCGAAGUUAAAGUUCAAAAUUAAAAGAAGCAACAAUAUAAUCAGCAUUGUGAUCUUAGAACAUACUAUAUUCAAUUCUGAAAGGUAUAGUAAUAUAUGAUUUUGUGCCUAAAAAAAGAUCAAAGGAAAUUAAUUAAAAUUAUAAAAAUACCUGAGAAAGAAAUUUCAUUUGUUUAAUUUCUGAUAGACUUACACCCUUUUGUGUUGAGGCUCUUCUUCUGAUGAUAUCUUCUUGUUCUUCCUAAAACCAAUCUAACACUUAACCAUCAAAAUAAUAAUUCAUUUCAUAAUAAUAAAAUUAAUAAAAAAACAUUUUAUUACUAUGUUAUCCAUGUCGUGAUCAUAUGGCUAUUGUAUUAAAUUUUCAGAUGUUCCGUUGAUAUGUCAAUAUUUUUUACUUUUCAAACAGUUUAACAUCGACUUGAAGUGAAUCAAUAUAUAUAUAAUAAAUGGUGUAAUAUAAAUAAUAAUAAACAUGCUAAUCUGGUUUAAAUAUCACAAUAAUAAUAGGUUUAUUUACUAAUUUAAAUUUAUUUUUUAUUUUUUUACUUUUCUAAUUUUCUAAGUAAUGUCCCUUGACACGAACAUUUUAACGAUACAUUUUCAUUCAUAUUUUUACAAAAGUAGUGUUUUGAUGGUUUUGUCGGUAUUGAUAUAUUUUUCAAACAACCAACACAAACAUGCUUUUUUUUCGAGAAAAACACCAUAUAGCGUCUCUUUAUCAUGUAUCUCAAAAUUAAAAUAGCAUACUUUAAAAUGUCGAUAUGAUUUGUAGUCUAAAUCUUGAUCAUAUGUAUCUUAAUUAAGUUUCAUUUAUAUCUCAUACACAUUAUUAUGCAAUUUAAACAUGAGUUAGGAAAUUAAAGAAGAGUCUAACCUUGGCCUUUUGGAAUACUUGUGGAUUAUCUGUAAGAAACAAAACUGCCCACAUUGUAGUGAAAGCUGUAGUCUCUUGGCCUCCAAAUAGCAUACCAAAAAUUAUCUCUGUAAUGGUCUCAUCGUCAAAUCCUUCACCAUCUUCAUCUCUCACUUCCAUCAACAAAUCCAUCAUAUCUUUUGCUUCCCAAUUUUCCCCUUUGCUUUUCUUCACCAUUCUCUUCUCAUCCACAAUUGAUUGAAGUAUUUCAUUCAAUCUUUUUCCAGCCUACAUAUAAUUUAUACAUUUCUUUUUGUUAUACCAUAUGAUAUAGUGAAUUGUAGAUUAGAUUAAUUUAAAAUAUAUGUCACAUAUAUAAUAAAAGUUAUCGAAACUCUGUCACAUUUAUAUUAGAAAUGAUUUUUGUUCUAACCAUGAGUGCUUUAUGGAAGGGUAAGCCAGGAAAGUUGAGUGGCAGGGUUAAGAAUGCAAGUGCAAUAUUCUCAUUCAAAGUCUCCAUUUCUCUUAUAGAAGUGCUUUUUAUUGGAGUUGAACCCAUAAAAAUGUUCCAAAUAACUUUGAAGGUAAGUUGCUUUAUCGUUGUUAAUAAUUCCAAUGGCUUCUUCAUGCUUGACCAUUCCUCCAACCCACUAAUCACAGUGUGUUCAAUAUGAUCAAUGUACAUCUCGAGCGCUGCAUGGCCACUGAUCGGUGCCAUUGUCAGCCGUCGGAGCUUCCGAUGCUCCUCUUUCGGUACUUGAAGCAGUGAUUUUUUACCAAAUACGGCUGUGAUGGAUGUAGGAUAACUAGGAAUGAACUUGGUUUCAUCAGUUAAUACUUGACGACAUAUUUCAGGUUUGCAGACGAUUAAAGUUGGUUUUCCAAAUAUGUGAGUCUUGUACAUAUCAAUUUUCCCAUAUCUAAUCAAAGAAGAAGAAAAGGAAAAAUAAAAUAAUUAGUAACUACUUGGAAGCACGUGAAAUCUCGUAGUUUUAAUUUUAAAGAUAAACAUACCAUACUUUUAAAUCAAAUUAAUAUUCUAUAGUUUUACUCUAUAGUGUAAAAUUUUUUGUUUCAGAAUUCAGUACGUAUUUUCACAAAAAAAAAAAAAAAAAAAAAAAAAGAAGUUAUAAUACGGUACAAAGUAAAAGAUUAUGAUAGUCAUUAAUAUAUUAAUACUCUAGUAAUGAUUUCAACGUUUGGUAACAUUUUGGGUAAUGUCGUAACAAUUUUUUAUUUUAAUUGUGGAUCAAUAUUUUGUUGAUUAAGAUAUUGUGUAUAUUACAUUACAAUAACCAAUGGAUAAAUAGGCCACCUAUGCAACAUAAAUAAUGUAAGAAGAAAUGUGAUUAAGCCUCACUUGUAGAAUUUACAUUAAUAUUAAUAAUGUUUUCACAUGUCUACCAUAUAUAUCAUAUAUAUGGAAGUUACUAUCAUACCUAAAAGAAUAACAAUUUUUAUAAAAAAAAAACAAUAACAAAUUUUAUAAAUAAUACUUUUUGUCGAUGUAAGAAGAUAAAGAUUUUUUCCAUUACUUGUGUUGGAGGGCUGAAAAUUAUAUUUUAAAAGAGAAAAAGAAGAGAACGUAUAAAAAAAUUAUUGUCAAAACUCUCAAAAAAGUUAGAAUCUAUUCAUGAUAGACAUUGAUACAUUUCUAUCCAUGUAUAUAAAUAUUUUUUAAAACGUUGAAAGUUUAAUUAUUUAAUAUCGGUUGUGAGUUGCUUUUUGAUCUAUUUACUUUGCAAAUGUUUGCAAAAUCAAAAUCAUGUUUUGGAGAAGUAAAAGUUACUAAAGAAAACUAUUAGUUGUGGAUUUAGCUGUGAGAAUAUGACAAAGAAUUAUAUGCUUGAGAAAGAUGAAACUAUGAUGACAAUAAGAGAUACGGGAGAAAACACAAACAAAAUUUUCAAAUCUCCAAAACCAAAUAACACAGUUGCCAAAGAGUUGACUAACUAUUACAAUUUUUUUUCUUUUGACGAUUUAUAGUGAGUUCCACGAUCUCUUCUAAUCAAUGUUCUUUCACAUAAUCAUUUGAUUUUCAAAAUUCAAACUUAUAUUAGAGUUUUUAAACGUUGGCUUAACUUUAAUCUUACCAGGGUCGAAGGAACAAUGAAUUAUCUAGACAUUUCAACUAGGUUGACAAUUGACAUACUUUCUAAAGCCCAUGCAUCAUACCUCAGUCCAAAAAUGCAUUAAUAUAACAAAAAGGUUGACACCGAGGCAUCUCAAAUUUCGACCUAACUUUUAAUUAGGGGUGUAAACAAGUUGGGUUGGGUUGGGGGACAUUCCCAACGAGUGACGAAUCUAAAAAAAUUAUUGACAAAGGGUUUGAGUUGUAACUUAGAGAAAAAAUAAAAAUCUAAAUAAAAAACUACACAAGUUGGGUUGGGUUAGUUGGGUUGGCAACCUAAAUAUAUAGUAUUUCCAACCCAACCGAGUGGAUGGUAUGUUUUUUCUUUCAUUUCUAAUAUUUGUUAAAUUUAAAAUUUUUGUGCGGGUCAUAUUGAUAAAUACACACAUUCAAAAAUUCAAAUCUUCAAUGAACACAAAGAAGGAGAAGUUAAGACGAAAGGAAAAAUAAGAUAACGCGCUGAUGACAGUGUGGGAUGAGCGAGGUUGAGACAAGAGGAAGAAUUGGCACCAUAGAGAGAUGUGAGACGGUGAACUCGUGAAGUAGGGAAGUCUCGUGUGUGACCUAAAUUUAUGCUAAUUAAUUAAUAAUAAAAUAUAUAUAUAUAUAUAUAUAUAUAAUUAAUUUCGGUUGGGGUUGUUGAAACGAAUUCUUCAACCCUAAAUCCAACAAAAAAAAAAAAAACUAUUUUUUUAACCCAACCCAACCCAAAUUUUAAACUAAUCCAACUCAACUUUUAUAAUAUGGGUUAAGUAGUUCGGGUUGGAGAGUUAUUCACAUUAUUCGGACUAUUUCUACACUCCUAGUUUUGGCUAUAAAUAAUAAAUUUAGUUGUUUUAUUAUCCAUUUUUUUAUAGUUUUAAAAAUUAAGUCAAAAAUAAAAAAUAAAGAAAUAAUAUUGUUGUUUGGAAUUUAACGUUUCUUAAUUGAUAGAAUAAUGGUGAGAAAUACAAGGAAAACACACACAUUUCCAAAUUUGAAAACUAGAAAACAAAAUAUUGUUAACUUGACAUGUUUAAAGAAAAGCGGGUUUUGAAGUUGAUUAUUGUUUCUAUCAACUCAACCACGAUGAUAUUUAUAGGUUAAUUCAAUGACGAUAAUAGUAAACUUAACUCUGAUCUAAACACUCCAAAGUUUCUUGUUGUAGUAAUUGAGUAGGGUUUUUUUAUAUAUAUAAUUUUGAGGAUAAAGAAUUGAAUUUCUAACUUUAAGUAUUUUUUUUAACAAAGUAGAACAAGAUCAAGGGGUGCAUCGAAAAAUUUCAACUAAAUUAACACUUGCGUAUGUAGCACACUCAUCAUAUCUCGAAACCAGUUGUUAUAUACAUACCUGAUGUCAUGCUAAACUAUAAUAUAUAUACACAUGAAUUCAUGAAUUUGAAUAACAUAACUAAUUUAAAAGAAGGUUUUCAAAUAAAUAAGAGUGGAGAACUUAUUUGAAAAUCAUUAUUUGUCUCACAAUAUAUUAUGUGUAGAAUAUGGAUGGCUGGAUGCAAAAGAGUGAGGACAUAUAUACCUUCUUGAGAAGUCACGAAUGAAACCGUCUGGUGGACCAAAAGUGAAAUAUUUGAGAAAGGAUAGAGUAGAACCAAUAAGUGGCCAAGAUAGAUCACCAGGAGGAAGUUCAUCCCAUUUCUUCCCUAAUUUCAAUGCAUAAUACAAAUUAUUCAAUCUCUUCAAAACCCCAAACCCUAAAACAAAACCCACAAAAGGAACAAUCAACAACAACCAAUUUAGCAUCAACUCCAUUAUUUUGAUAUUUCUCUCCACUUCAACACACCUUUUCUUUUUAUAUCAACAUAUUUUUUGGCUUAUUCACAAUUCUAUUUUUUUAUUGCUCAUCUCUCUAACUAAAUGUUCAUAAGUAUAUUAUAAUUAAAGUAAUAAUUCUUGGUGUUGAAUCUCUCAUUCCCACUUCCCAUGUUACUCCUUUUAUUAUUAAUAUUUCGUUAAAUUAUACAAAAUAUUCUUUGAGUUUCUAUUUUGGGUAAAAAAAAUUCCUCGAAACUUUUAAAAGUUUUCAAAUACCCUUAAACUUUAAAAGAUGGUUAAAAAAUACCCCGUAACUAUUGGAGAGUUUCAAAAAUAUAUAUCAUUGAACAUGCAAAAUGUUUUUAAAAAAAUACUCUCACAAUUAAUAUAUGAAAUGAUGUUAAUAUCUCAAUGCAAAAAUCGACAAGAAUCAAUUUAAAAAUAAAUUAUAUUGGCCUUCAUUAUUUGGUCAUUGACAAUUUUGUUUUAAGGUUUUUUUUCCAUGUUUUGAAAAUUAAGCCUAUUUACGCUACUUUUCUACCUCCAAUCUUUUCUAUUUUCUAUUUGUUAUCUACUUUUUGUUUAUCUUUGUAUUGAGAACAAUAAGAUAUGUGUGUGAAAAAUCAAUUGACCAAACUUUUAAAAACGAAUAUAUUAAAUAUCAAUGUGACAAGUGUGUCAUGUUCACACUUCUAUGAUACUUCACCUAAGAAAUUAACGAAUCAAAGGAAAAAGUAUAAAACUCAAAUACCAAUAACUUACUUAUUACGAAUCAAAUACCAAUAACUUACUUAUUACAAACAGUUCAUGAAGCUUUUAUGACUUAUUCUAUCUAGGAGAAAUCUUAGGGUUUAUCUAACCAUUCGAUGCGAGAAAAACCAAUUUCGUGAAUCUAAAUUUAAUGAAAUAGAUCAAAUAUUGAAAAAAAAGCCUAUGAAAGAUAAAGUAGAUUUAUCUAAUUGGAUCUAACCCUAACUUAUUAGGAUUAGGAAAGAACUAUCCCACUCUUAUAAUUUUAAGAGAAUAAAAGGUAAACUGAUAUGACUCAUUUUUCAUAUAAACAUGUCAUUAAUUAUAAUCCACCAACAACAUCUUAAACUUAAUUAUUAUUUAUCAUUAUACAAUUAUAAUCCAUCUUUAAUUAAAAGAGACAAAUGAAACCAAUAUAUAUAGUUAAUUUUAAUAAAGAUUUGAGGUUUCAGUUGGUGGAUCUAUAUAUUAAAUAGAUAUUUCAACAAUUUUAUAGUUAUAUAUUUCUUUUUGUAUAGUGUUCCAAUUGCAGUCCGUUUAAAUGUAAGACUAAAAAAAACCUUGUUUAUCUUACAAGCAACUGCAGAAUAAACAAAAACUCUCUUCUUCUUUUUUUUUUUUUUUUUUUUUUUUAUCUUAAUUGUAGGUUGGGAUGUCCUAAUUGUGCAUUUAGUGGGAGAGAUGUCUUUUCAUACCUUUUCUUUUCUUACUAUUAUUAUUUGAUUAUUUUAAUUUAUAAGAUCGACUACUCUAUCUCAAGUUCCAACCAUCUUGGUUAGAUAAGUAAUUUAAGUGUCCAAUCAUAAUUUAUUACAUGUCAAACUCUCUUGUCAUUGAACAUGAAUGUGUAAUAUAUAUGCUUAAGAGAUAUUCUACAUUUUUAUAAUUAAAUGUUCUACAAAUAAUUAAAUGUAAUAUAUAUGCUUAAGAUACUCCCUCUCUCAAGAACUUGAGCUCCCCUCAAGUAAUUUAUGGUACUCCCUCCCACAAUAUUGUAUAUAUUAUCUUUUCGUUGAACAAAAUCUUCUUCGUUUGAAUGACUUAUGCUCCUAGAACCUAACAACUUUAAAUAAAUUUAUUACUAUACUAACGAUAGAGACAUUUUUAAUUUAGAGUUAGUUUUGCAGUGAGAUGCAGGUUCAGUUCAUAUACUAAUUGUGAGAGUAAUCUUUUAACUUUUUUUUUAAGUUCAAAGGUAUUUUUUUAGACAAAAUUUUAACGGUUUCCAUCUAAAACUAACAAUAAGAGUAGUUUUGAUCCAUUUUUAAAAGUUUGAAGGUAUUUUUGAAACUUUUAAAAUUUUUAACUGAAAAUGUAAAGUUGAGGAAUAUUUUGUAUAAUUUAGGGCUGUUUUUAAUUAAGAAAAAACUAGCCAAUCGAAUUUUUUUUUCUCUUAGGUCGACUAUUACAUUUAUAUUAGAAAUUUUAUAACAUUUAGAUUAGAAUGUGAACGAAGCACCGUAUUGGCCGGAGAUCUUUUGGUGGGUUGUCAAUGUCUCAACCAUGUUUGAGCUUAGACAUUGUAAAAGUUUCAUUUUUGUUCUUGAAUUAAUUAAAUUUAUAUAUAUAUAUGCUUUGUACCUUUUCAUUCAAAAAUGAAUCAUUUUUUUAUAUUGGAGCAUGGUAAAGGUGCUAAGGAGGGGGUGUUGAUACUAGUUGAGAUGUACCUAUUGAUUUCCUUGACUUUAUGUAUAUUCUCAAGAUCAAAAGACCUAUUAAACAUGAAGUUGGAAGUCUUGAAAUUUAUUAAAUAUAGGAUAUUUUAUAAGUUUUAGGUUCAUAUGGAAUUAAAUUGUAUAUAUACAUAAUUGUGUUUUGUGUUUGAUCACUCAUUAUAUGAUUGCAUUAUUAAAUUAAAAGUCAUCAUGUUUUUAAAUCAAGAGAAAUGUUAAUAGUAUGAGAUAGUAUGAGUUUCCAUCUCAAAAUCAAUUGGCAAUUAGAAGAGAAGUCCACCUAUCUUAUAUGAAGUAUGAGUCUCCUUGGUUUUUCCAACGUGAGACUCUCAACUUCUCCAAUAAGAACUUCUAGGAUAUGUAUUAAAUUUUAAGUUUUAAAUAGAUUAAAAAAAAAAAAUCGAUUGAGGGAUUGCAAAUGGUAAAAAUCAUCUCUAGAAUACAAUUACACCUUCAUACUUUCAAUAACAACAAUUUAUCCCCUAAACUUUUUAAAAUUAGAAUCUCGAGCUUAUAAUUAAUUGUAAAAAUUGAACCCAACGAUGAUAAAAAUUGAAUCCUCAAACUUAUAUAUCAUAUCAAUACAAUUAUGUAAGUUUCGAAGGUUUCAGUUUUAAAAUUUGUAUGAGUUUGAGAGCACAUAAUUGUAUUAAUUUAACACCAUACAUUACAGAUGUUUUUGCAAUUUGUUGUAUUAUUUAUUAUUUAUCUUUUUUUUAACCCCUAAAACAAAACCCAAACAAAGGAACAAUCAACAACCAACAACCAACUUAUCAUCAACUCCACUUUUUUUUUAUAUUUCUCCACACCUUUGCUUUUGAUGAUACUGAAUACAAUUUUCUAUGGUUCACAUGUAUUAUAUAUAAUUGUCCUUGGUGUUGAAUACGUAGAUUAGAGACAAUCUUAUUGUUAUUAUUAUUAUUAUCAUUGAUAAGAAAAGGCUAAAUUGACAAUCUUUUUUAGUUAAAUUUAUGAAAGGUUUCAAUAUUAUUUUACAAAAGUAUAUCUUUCGGAGUUAUUUUUAAAUCAAUUUGAAACAUGACUUUUACUUAUUAUUUAAACCUUUUUUUUUUUUAGUUUUCAACUCCAUUUUUAUUAUUGGGUCGAGGACAAUUUUGGCUUUAGGUUAUAUAUAUUGGGAAUCACGAAAGUUAUUUUGAUGCGUUUGGAAGGAAUAAAAGUUCAUUAAUUAAUUUUAAAUUCUAUGAGGUUGAAAUUUGAAAAAAAAAUUAAAUUAUAUCUUUAUUUUUGUUUGGGAUGAGAAAGAUGAACUUCAAUUAAUGUGUUUUUAAGUUUUAUGUUUAUAGCUAAAAGAGAAGGUUUGGUACAUCAAUCGGGCAUAUUGAACAGUCCAUAUAAUUUGCAUGUUAACAAAGCUAAUCUCCUCUAGAAAAAAAAAGUUUAGUCAUUUAAGUUAUUUUUAAAAAGACAAAUAAAAUAUUAUACACUUAAUUAUUAUUCUUAAAAUUGUUACUUAUUACAUUCUAGUUUUUCAUAUGCAACCUUCAAAGUUUGGCACAUAGUCUAAAGAAAGAAAACAAUUACAUUCGCUUUGAUUUUACAUAAAUGUCUUAAAACACUACAAGAUUUCAAGGAUCUCCCAACAUUGCAGUGCAUCGCCAAAAAAUCAUUAUGCGUUAGCAUAGGCUCUUACAACGUAGAAAGCAACGUGGAGACGUCUGCGUAUCCCCUUAUGCCGACGCACGAUGUGCCGACAUAGUUAACACAUCGGUCAAAAACUUUUGUCGACAUUGGGGCAGGACAUUGACAAUAACAUAGAGCUGACGUCUUGGUGUGCAUCAUUGUAGGACAGACCGACGCGGCAUCGACCUAGCGUCUAAUGAACACCGCAUCAUUAAAUGAUGCCAUUCGCAACGCGGCGUCUGCGUCAGGAAAGGUUUCACCAAUUUUUUUAAAAAAAUUGUAAAUUAAUUUUUGGUUGUAUGAGGUUCGAAUUCGAUUUAAUUUGAUUGAAAUUGUAAAAAAAAAGUAACGUAAAAUUAAUAAAACAUCAAAGUAAAUAUAUAUUAAAAUUAAUUAAAAUAUUCCAAAAAAAAUAAGUUUCGUGCGUAGAAAAAUUAUAAUAAACCUAAGCUAAAAACAAAAAGACCACAAACUAAUCUAAACGAUACACAUAUAGUAAUCCUCUCAUGCCUUCCAACCUACAAUGACAACAAAUUAAAGUAUAAAUAUAUAUAUCUGUUGGAAUUUAUGUCCUAAAACUCGUAGAUUGAAAAUAUAAUUCAUUGACCGUUGUUAAUAAAGUGUUAUUAUUGCAUGAGAUACUCUCACUCGCAUGUCAACUAUGUGAAUGUGUCGGAUCAUUGUGUUUGUAUCAAAUACAAAGUAAGUCGUAUUUAUAGUGUUACUAGGAUAAGUUACUCUGUAUUAUCCUUAUACUAUAAACCCUUUAAGCAUAUCUCGAACAUUGAUCCAUGUAUGUCUCUACAUACUGUUCAAGACUCAUUAAACAACUUAGGAUAUUAGUUUAUUAGAUUUGGGUUAUUAAGACAAAACUAAUAAUAUAAUCAAAAGCAUUUAUUAAAAAUAUAAUAAUAACAUUUUAUUAAUAAUAGUCAAUAGAUUAUAUUUACCAUCUAUGAGUUUUAGAACAUAAAUCUCAUUAGGAAACACUUUCUAGCUUCUCCCUUUGAGUUCAUCCUAGAACUCUUCUCUUUGCCUUUCGAGCUCUUUUUGUCACUACUUCCUUUGGUCGUUAGUAACACUCCAUCCAUGUGUUCUUUUUUAUAUAUUUUGAGAUAUCUAGCUUUCAAGGGAUCUAACACUAUAUUCAUGGUCAAAGAGUCUCGACCAUAAUUAAAAGAACCACUGCUUGAUUUUCAUCUGACAUCUUCACACCGAUGUUAUUGAGAUAUAAUUCAUUUGUCAAGGAAAUUUUGUCAAGUUUAAAGAUUCUUUAGCUUUUUCCGUAACUCCCCUGUAGUAGUAGCCUUAUCCACUAGCCUAAGCACUGUAUCUGAAAGAUACAAAAGGAUUGUCGAAUAGGCAAAUUCAUCCAUAUCCCUUUUCUCAUCUUCGGUAAUAGUUUCUUAAAGGUGCUCUUCAUCUAAGAUUUUUGUUACUUUUUGCGGAACCAAUGUAGCCCUAAUCUUUUUCCUUCAAAGGUCAAAAUCACAUUUCCCAUUCAAAUCAUGUUAAAGCCAUUAUUACAAAAAAAGAAAAAAAAAUCAAGAAUAUGCCAAACUGCAAACUACUACACAAAACCCAACUCUUUUUUGUAUCAAAUAGAGCUCUAUACCACUUGUUGGGAAUAUAUACACCAAGUUUUGUUAUCACUUAUUAUGACUAUAUCAAGCGUCCAACCACUUGGUAUAAUUUCCUGCAUUGCACCAGAGAAUACAAUGUCAAACCACCCAGAACGCAAUAGCCAAAUAAUCACAAAUUAAGAAAGCGAUAAAAGAGUAAACGACACAAAGAUAUAUAGUGGUUUGACCAAAUUGGUCUACAUCCACUUUGAGAACCAGCUUGGAGGGAUUUUAUUAAGAGCAAAAACAUAUAUAUAGGGUAAACGACACAAAGAUAUAUAGAAAUUUUAUGUAGGUAGUUUGGAUAGAAUAACCAAAUCAAUUAGUUAGUCUACUAAGGUAGGUAGAAAAUUACUCCCAAUAUGGUAACUUUAUUAAAUUGAUUUUUGUGUUAAUAAAAGUUUCCUGUUAUUUUGAGAUGAAUGCUAAUGUUAGUAUUAUUUUCAAAUUAAAAAAAUCUCAUCAUUUGAAGAAAUGAUUUUGGGUACAAAUAAUCUCUCUUCUUCAUCCAACAACAAAGGAAAAUGCCAUACAAAAUAACUCUAGAAAUUUUUUACAACCUUCCCAUUCUCUCUUCUUCAUCUAAACCUCUAAGUUUCACAGCCCUUCUGUUUGUAGCCACCUAUUUUUAUCCUACCAAUAUUCAAAAACAAAUAUAUUAGUAAUAAUGGUUAAAAUUUUUAUUUAUUUAUUUUAAAAAGGUAAAAAUUUAGUAAUAACAUAAUAUCUCAUUUUUAUUGUUUUAAAAAAUAAAAACAAAUCCAUUUAUUUUAAAUAAAAUCUUUUAAUAUCAAAGAAAUUAUUUAGUUUUAAAUAAAAUAUUUUUUGAAAACUUAUUUCUAUUCAUUUUAGGAAAAAUUAAAUUAAUAAAAUGUUUGACUUAUUUAUAUCAUUUUAGGAAAAAAAGAAAAUCAAUUUUAAACAAAAAUAAAAUCUUUUAAUAUUUAUUUAAUUUAUUAAUUAUUUUUUCACAAAAUUUCAAAAUAUCUCAUUUAAUUUUAUUUACUUAUUCUAAGAAAAUGAAAUUUACUUUAUUAAUAUAAUAUCAAAAUUUGAUUUUAUUCUUAUUAUUUUUUCCUAAUUUGUGGUAAACUUUGAUUUUAUAAAUAAGGACAAAAUGGCUUAGAAAAAAAUAGUUAGAGUAAGUAAAAAAAAUUAGAGAGAUUAUCUUAAAUAUGUAAGUUUUCUGAUUCAUUUCAUUAGUUAGUGUCUUUUACUUCUUUUUUAUUCUCUUUUUUUUUUCCUCCUUAGCAAACCAAAUUCCACGUUGAAUAGAUUUUGUUAGAGGUUGCAUGUGAUAGUGAUUUACUUCCAAAGAUGUGCACAUCAUCUACGAGUAAUUUUAUUUGGAAUUUGAAAUCUUUUCUUUUUUCUCUCUUCUUUUAAGAAGAAGAAACAUAUAUGAAUUUUUCUAUUAUUUUUUGGUUUUAUUCCAAGUAAAGUUUGGCAGAUUAAUCUCAUCUAUCUGACCGAUUGUAUUUGUAGAUCACAAAUUAUAUAUUAUAUGAAAUGAAAAGGAAAUUUAUCAUUUCUUUUACAGUUAUGUAAUGGCACUCAGGUAUAGUAGUCAUGCCUCUACUCUACCAUUAUGUAUUUAUUGUUGUCUAAGUGACUUCAACAAUUCAAUUUAUUAAUUUCAUGAAGUCAGUAGGUUGAUUUUAAAUUACCAGCAUGAACAACCUGUUGGAGAAGCUUAACAUUACACUUGUUUUGUUUACAUUUGAACUACUCAAAUUUCUAUCUCACAAUCGCUAAAAUAGGACAUUGUUUUUUAAAAGAAAUUAAAGAAUUUUGACAUAAUAAUUGAGUUGAUUAUUUAAUGAUUCAAGAAUGUUAUAGAGAAAUUAAAGAAUUUUGACAUAAUAAUUGAGUUGAUUAUUUAAUGAUUCAAGAAUGUUAUAGAGAAAUAUAAAUGUUCAUCAUAUAUAACACAAUGAUAACGUAUUUAUUUUAUUUGAUGGGUGAAUUAAAAUUCACACAUACAUACACACACAAGUACAUGUCAUAUAUAUUUAGAAGCUUAAUACAAUAAUCAUAAAGUUCACACUAAUUGGACCAAAGAAGGUUACAUGAGGAUGAGGGAUCACUUUUUAGUCGGUUUUUGAUGGAGCUUUCAUGACUCUUGCCAGACAUUUGUCUGUAGGAUAAGAAAUGGGCAAGUAAUUCAAUUGGCAUUCAGGAUUAAGUCGCUCAACCCUGCAUUUAUCAAUGAAAACAUUUCCAUCACGUUUUUAUUGAAUAUGUUAUUAUCAAAUUCUUUACUAAAUAAACUUAGUUAGAUCACGUUUUUCAUUUCUUAGAUAAAUUACUAUUUAUUUUUUUUAAAAAAAAAACAUCUUGAGCCUAACAAAUUUAUGUUUAUUUUGUGUCAAAAGUUUAUAGAAGAUAAAAAGUUAAUUAGAUAAAACUCACUUGUAGUUGAGGAUAAAAUAAUGAAGGAAAAUUGAGAUCUCGAUUCUAGCUAGAUCACGUCCCGGGCACAUCCUAACUCCUAAUCCAAAGGGAGUAAAAGCACCUGGACUUCCGAUGAAAUUCUGUUAAAUAAGAGAAAGUAAGAAAAAUGUUUUGAAGUAUAGCAAAAUGAAUAUAUUAAUAUAACAAAAUGCUAUUAUUUAGAUUAUGAUAUUGAUAGAAUUUUUCAACGUGAGCGUCGCUUAAGAGACAUUUGCAUGUUUUCCAUAAGUUCAAAUUCAUUCAAUCAAGAGUUUAUUAAAGAAAAUAAAUAUAAAAAAGAGUAUGAAUAAAAUUAUAUUCAAAGCUUAUGACCGAUAUAUUUAUAUAUCAUUUUUAGGAGGCAUGCUAAAUUUAGUCCAUUUAUAUUUUGCAUCUAAUCUUUUGAUUAGUGGCUGAAAAAAUUAAAAACAUAAAUAGAAAAUAAAAGAAUAUUCAAAUAAUUAAGUAGCUGAGUGUUUAAUAAAUGCAUACAUCCCAUCUUGAAGGAUUGAACUGUAGAGGGGAAGGAUGUAGUUUUUCGUCCAUGUAAAGCUCUCGAAGCCAAAGUAUGACUUUCCAUCCCUUUGGUAUUAUUUUACCUAAAAACAUAAUACAAAGUCGUUAUUACAAUUACUCAAUAUACAGGGAAAAUAUUAAUUUGGGAUGAAUGAGAAAAAUAUAGUCAUCCAGAUCAAUUCUCUUAUUUGUUAACUAACCGUUAAUUUCAGCGUCAACUGUUGCCUCACGGAAAGUAGCAAAUGCAAUACUACUUAGGCCAAGCGUCUCAUCUAUUACCUGGAUAUUAUACAAAAUAUAUAUAGAAUUAAAAGUUAUAAUUCAAUAUUACUAGUUCGAUUUUGAAAAUAUAGACAAGGUAAGAGGGAAUCAGGAAGUGCACCAAAACAUCUCUACAGCACCCUCAUCACAUCCCAAAGACCAAAAGCGAUAUCAUUCACAUACGGAAAGGUACAUAACAAACUAGAGAAAAGUUUAUCAAAAGAGUUAUAUAAGAGAGAUUACAAAAAUGCUUUCUAGUUGAGAAAAUUUAUUUGUUAGAACUAGUUGUGUUAAAUUGAAGAGUAACAUAAUUAAGAAAUAUUUGUGUGAAUGAUGGGCUGUUUGUUAGAAUAAUAGUCCAUAAAUAUAGGGUAAAACAUUUAUGAAAAUCAGUCUUUAUUGCAUUAGGGACAUGGUUACGUGUGAAUAUAGGGUGAGGAAAACACAAUUUUUAUGGCGUGUAUAAUUGCAAUAGAUAGUCCUCGCCAACUAAUUACCACUACGAUACAAAUGGUUAUCCUUAACAAAAAUGUGGUGGCAUGCUCUUACUUGAUAAAAAAUAAUUUCAUAAACUUGUGCAAAGGACAAGUCCUUGAUCAUAAAAGGAAACAAUUAAAUAAUUUUGUCCUGUUCCCCGACAUCAUGCAGACGACAUCGAGAAAUGGGGGGUCUCCCGACAUGUUCGUUGUUCGUCGGGAGUUCCCCAAUAAAAAGAGGUUUUCAAUUCUGUAAUUCACAUAAACGAAAAAGAGAAGGCCGAGAGAGUUGAGAGAGAGACCAAGAAGGAGACAACGCCAUGUUGUCCCUCGCUGUUGUCUGUGUCCCGUCGUUUGACAUUGCCUCACUGUUGCUUCUCUUCACUUCAAUAAGUUGGUUUUAGUUUUAGUUUAGUUAAUUAGUUUUAGGAUUUGGAUUUUGAAAUUGUUUUAGGAUUUAGAUUUUGAAUUAGUUUUAGGUUUUAAUAUUGAAUUUGAAUUUGAAGUGUUUUUAGGAUUUAAGAUUGACGUUGAGAUUUAUUUUGGCUAUCAUGCAGUUAUGGUAGCCUUUAGUUCAAACUUUUUUUUUUAUUUGUCACUAACUUUGUUUAUUGGAAAUGUUAGGUAGUUGGUAAAAGAUUGAAGUAAUUUGUGGGUUUCUUAUGGCUAUCCUGCCGUUAUGGUAGCUUUUUAAAGUCAAAAUUAGUUUCUAAUUUGUUAGUAGUUUUGGGGGUUCGAGGUGUUAGGUAGCUUAUAAAGUAUGUUGGAAGUGUUAGGUAGGUUUUAAACUUUAACUUUAAUUUAGUGAAAGUUGGGAGAUUGGGCAUAAUUCAUGGAGUAGUUUUGGAGGUUCGAUGUGCGACUGACGACUUCAUAGAUGAUGAUGAUAAACAAUUAUCACAUCAAAGCAGAUAAGGCGACGAUGAAUUUUGAAAUUUGCGUCCACGGCAAUAAUUAGAAGAUGGUGUAGUUUUUUUCCUUUUCAUGUAAUUGUUUUGAAUAAUUUACAACUUGUAAUUUUUGUUAUACAUUCGAAUUUAGUAUUUAAUUUUAUAAAUUGUAAAUUAUUUAUUUUAAUAAUUAUUAUAAUUUUUGUUUGUUGUCUUUCGAAUCGAAACCUAUAUAUAAUUUCUCCCGAUGUUGCUUGUCUGUCAGGAAUAAGUUAUUCUUUGACGGCAUAAAAAAUGUGUCUAGGAAAGCUUCUCCUGACGUCACGUCAGAAGAAAGUUACGCCCGACACACUAAGGAGAUGACGUCAGUCACUUGUCGACAUUGAUGACGUUAGGGAUAAGGCAUUCUCGACGUUGUCUCGUUUACGCAUUGGAAAUUGCUCCCCCGAUGUAAUACGUCGGAAUGUCUGACAUUGGAAGAGGUUCUGACGCGUUUUUAUACAAAGGACAACGAUUUAUGUUAUUGGGAGUUCCACAAAUCCUUGUAGUGUAAUUCUUUUUUAUGUUAAAGGAUUUAAAGAGACAUUAUGAAAUCAAAAUUCAUAACUAACCAAAAUUAAUCUUGAAAAUUAAAAGAGUUCUCGAACAUAUAUACUAUAUUCGAUUCCGAAAGCUAAUAUAUGAUUUUGUGCCUAAAAAAAGAUCAAAUCAAAGCAUGCCAAGGGAAACUAAUAAUAAAAUAAAAAUACCUGAGAAAGAAAUUUCAUUUGUUUAAUCUCCGAGAGACUUACACCCGUUUGUGUCGAUGCUCUUCUUUUAAUGAUAUCUUCUUGUUCUUCCUAAAACAAAUUCUUAAACUUAACCAUCAAAAUAAUAAUUUAUUUCAUAAUAAUAAAAUUAUUAAAAAAAACACUAGAUUACUAUGCUAUACAUCCACUUUGUGAUCAUAUGUUCAUAGUAUUAAAUUUUUGGGUUCCAUCCACAUGUUGUUAUUUUUACAUUUUAAUAAUCAUGAGAUGUGAAUCAAUAUGGUAGAAUGAUACCUAGAACUUAAGAAAAUAAAAGAAAAUAAACAUCAACAUGUCACUUAUGUUAAAUAUAAUAUAAAUAAUAAUAAACAUGCUUAUUGGUAUGGUUUAAAUAUCAUAAUAUGCUUAUUUAUAAAUUUAAAUUUAUUUUUUAUUCUUUUGCUUUUAUAAUUUUGUAAGGAACAUUCAUCCCGCGUCAACACUUUAAUGAUACACUUUCAUUCAUAUUUUUAUAAAAGUAACGUUUAAUAUUGAUUUUUUUUUUUCAAACAACCAAUAUAACUAUGUUUUUCUUUUUUGAAAAAACAGGAGGGACGAAAAACGGUAGAUACACUAGGAUAUCUCAACUAGAUUGACACAUUCAUAGUAUCUUUAUCCAUGUAUCUCGAAAUCAAAAUAGCAUACCUUUAGAUUUCAAUAUCUACGGUCUAAACCUUGAUGAUAUAUAUCUUAAAUAAGUUUCAUUUAUAUCUCAUAUACAUUAUUAUGCAAUAAUUUAAACAUAUAAGUUAGAAAAUUGGAGAAGAGUCUAACCUUGGCCUUUUGAAAUAUAUGUGGAUUAUCUGUAAGAAACAAAACUGCCCACAUUGAAGUGAAAGCUGAAGUCUCUUGGCCUCCAAAUAGCAUACUAAAAAUCAUCUCUGUAAUGGUCUCAUCAUCAAAUCCUUCACCAUCCUCAUCUCUCACUUCCAUCAACAAAUCCAUCAUAUCUUUUGCUUCCCAAUUUUCCCCUUUGCUUUUCUUCACUGUUCUCUUCUCAUCCAGAAUUGAUUGAAGUAUUUCAUGCAAUCCUUUUCUAGCCUAUAUAUAAUUUAUACAUUUCUUUUCGUUAUAUCAUAUGACGAUAUUGUACAAUAUUUUCGUAAAGUAGAUUGAUUGAAAAUAUGUCACAUAUAUAUUAAAAGUGAGACUAUAUGUCACAUUUGUAUUAGAAAUGAUUUUUGUUCUUACCAGGAGUGCUUUAUGGAAGGAGAAGCCAGGAAAGUUGAUUGGCAUAGUGAAGAACCCAAGUACAAUAUCAUCAUUAAAAGUCUCCAUUUCUCUUAUAGAAGUGCUUUUUAUUGGAGUUGAACCCAUAAAAAUGUUCCAAAUGACUUUGAAGGUAAGUUGCUUUAUCGUUGUUAACAACUCCAAUGGCUUCUCCAUGCUUGACCAUUCCUCCAACCCACUAAUCACUGUGCGUUCAAUAUGAUCAAUGUACAUCUCAAGUGCGGCGUGGCUGCUGAUCGGUGUCGUUAUUAGCCGUCGGAGCUUCCGAUGCUCCUCCUUCGUGACUGCAUGCAGUGAUUUUUUACCAAAUAAGGUUUUCAUGGUUGUGGGAUAACCAGGAAUGAACUUAGCUUCAUCCGUUAAUACUUGACGACAUAAUUCAGGUUUGCAGACAAUUAUAGUUGGUUUUCCAAAU